GGCAAGAGGCUCCUAUGGUUUCCCCAUGUGGUAGUACCAAUCCUCCUUCUAAAAUGCUGCAAAAUCCGACGUAAAGUGGUAAUAAAGGUUCUGAAACUUGGAUCGUGUAAAUGUGUAACUCUGGCCUGUCUGAUCGUCAUCUGUCACCUUGGGCAAUCAAGUUACUGUGAUAUAAAGUGUGUUACUGGUAUUCAUGUUUUUAUUCUGGACAUACUGUAGUUUGUUACUGAAAAAACGACACUGUAUGUUCCCUUUGCAUCAAGUGAAUGUACAAGAUAUUGUUGAUUUUGGUUUGGCUGAUGUUACCCGGCUACUGUUUGGUAGUUGUUGACUUUUCCCUAAGUAAGACAACAUUAAUUGGUAGCUGUUGACUUUUCCCUCGGCAAGACAACAAUAAUGCAAAGAACAGACUAGACAGACCAUUUAAGCACAAGCAUAAUGCUUCUCAGGGCAUCUCCAACAUCCACCCGCAAAUUGGCUCCUCCGUGGAUCGGGGUAUGGGGAAGCCUGCCAUCCUGCAUAUGUACUGCCAGUAAAGGUAAUUUGAAAUUCAAAUAAAGUUUGAUCCAUAGCGGUAAUAAAGGUUCUGAAACUUGGAUCGUGUAAAUGUGUAACUCUGGCCCGUCUGAUCGUUAUCUGUCAGCUUUGGCAAUCAAGUUUACAGAGAUAUAUGGGCUGUUUGGUCGCCGGCCGCACCUUGCCACGCCAAAGGCUCCCUAGGCCGCCGUUUGGUUGCCUCCUAAGGUUGCAGUGUCUUUUGCAGUUGAUUUCUCGUCACACUCUGUGACGCUCGUUUUCAACGCCAAACUCCAUGGCGCGCCGGGAGUGCGGCUAAACAAAUGUGACGUCACUAGUCUCCAACCAAACAGCCCCAUAAAGUUCUUACUCCCUCCGUAAAAAGUGAUCUAAAGGUUCUUUACGGAGGGAGUGCUUGUCUGUGUGUUUGAAUCCUGGUUCUUUUUAUUGUUGCUAUAAAAAACCGAACUCCCCUUUGGUAUGAUGUGACCGGCCGGGAUGCAGUUGAUUCUGGUUUGAAAUUUGAAUGAUGCAGCCCAUGAUAUCCGGCUACCGUUUGAUAUACAUGGAUUCGUAAAGCUACUAGAUCGGGGGUGUCAGUCCCUACGCUUUGAUCAAGUUAAGUCAGCAGUAAUCUAUGUUAUAUCUUAUCAUAUCAUUUCUUUCACAAGGAUAGCUCUUAAUAUAGUUUAGCUCUUGUGGAAGAAAUGAUAUGAUAUUUCACCCAAAGCAUAAAGACCCAAUUCAUAACAUAUAAUCAAGGGGAAACGUUCGGCUGAUUUUUGACAACACGUCCGAUUUUUUGUUGAGUGACGCGUGAUAAAGGCGUAGAGCUCAGAAAGCACGUUGUGCAUCUUUGCAUGUGGCUGCUCCCCACAGGCUAUCGUGAUUUUCUUGAACGCCAUCAUGUGUCUUGCUGCACUUUAGCUGCAUGCUACUGCGGUGGGCACGAGCCAGUCACACAGCGACGGUGCUACCAGGUCGCGUCACUGCUAUGCCCCGCUGGUGGCCGGCGAUGCUGGGACGAUGUGGGCUGUAAGUCACUGCCUCUGCUGUAUGCAUCAGUAGACUGCUGCAACGAAGGGUCGCUCGUCCCUCAAAGCAUCGUCGGCCGUUGGCGUUGCAACGGAGCGUCGCUGGUCAGCGGGCCACCGGAACAUCAGCGGCGCUGCAACGGAGCGUCGCCCGUCCGUCAAAGCAUUGUCGGGCGUCGGCGUUGCAACGGAGCUUCGUCGGACCACCGAAGCAUCGCUGGCACUGCAACAGAGUGUCAGCGGGCCACCGGAGCAUCGUCGGCACCGCAACGGGGCAUCAUUGAGCCGUCGAAGCACCACCGACGCUGCAACGGAGUAUCACCGGGCUAUUGAAGGAUCGUCGACACUGCAACGGAGCAUCGUCGGGCAGCCGAAGCAUCAUCGACGCUGCAAUGGAACAUCACCGGACAGCCGAAGCAUCGUCGAUGCUGCAACGUAGCAUCUUCGGGCCACCGGAGCAUCACCGGAGCUACAAUGGAGUGUCGCCGGGCCACUGGAGCAUCGUCGGCGCUGCAACGGAGCAUCGUCGGGCAGCAAAAGUAUCGUCGACACUGCAACGGAGCAUCACUUCGUACUCGGGCAUGGCGACGAGUAGCCCCGGCGAGUCGUCGGGGUCGCCGUCCUCGCGGAGGACGAACUGUUCCGGCGGCACUUCGUACUCCGCCGUGACAGCCGGGGCCAACAUCGAGGCCGCCGGCGGUGGGUGGGGGAUCGCCGCCCGACGGCGACGCGGGAUGCCGCCUGCCGUUGACGGCUGCUGACGUCAUAGUAGCUCUUUCCAUCCCAAAAGUCGUGCCGGCCGCGGAUGUUGUAGCGGCCGCCGGGAUGGAUCCGGAGUUGCUCCGACGUCGCGGGGUUGUCCAGCGUCGGGUAGCCGUCCUUGCAAAUCCUUCACGGUUUUGCGAGGCGGCACCCCGGCGGGACGAGGAGGCCGUAGCCGUAGAGCUCCUCCGUCAGCGGCUUGUCGAGGCUCUGGGGCCAGUUGCUCUCCGACGCGCCGCCGCCGCCGGCGUGAGCCAUCGUCGGGACGACGGAGAACGGGGGAGGGAGGAAGAGAACGUCGGGAGCAACGGCGGGACGACGGAGAGCAGGGGGGAGAAGGAGAGCAGGGGAGCGACGGGUGUGCCGAUGAGCCGCGGGACGACGGGUAUAUAUAGGGCAGCGACGGGAGGGGAGGCGACGGGUAGCUGGCCGGCGUAACUCCCCCGGAGUGAAUGCGCGUCGCCUCGGGAGCCGUCGAACCAGCGGGCCAGCGGCGACGACAUCAGAAACCGACGCGACCGGGCUCUGACGACGCGGUCGCCAUUAAUGGCGUCGCCUCGGGAGCCGGCGAACCAACGGGCUAACGGCGGCAUCGGGAACCGGCGUGACGAACUGGCGACGGGCGCUGACGCGGCGAUUAAUGGCGUCUUCGAAAACCGACGCGACGAGAUGGCGACGGGGCGCUGACGCGGUGGUUAAUGGCGGCGGCUUCGGGAACCGACGCGAACUGGCGACGCAACGCGGGAUUAAUGGCGGCGGCUUCGGGAACUGACGGGAACUAGCGAUGCAGCACGGGAUUAAUGGCGCGGCCUCGGAAACCGACGGAUUGACCAUGGUCAGACCGACGUGAAGACGUCACGUCGCAACGGGUGGACGCGGGUACGACGCGUAUUCUGGGGCUCCUGUACGUCGCCAGUUCGUCAGCUGGCGCCCGUCGGGCUGACGUGCGUACGUCGGGACGGGGAAAAGACCAUCCUGCCCUUUGUUACGAAGGGGUAUCGUUUAAUCUCAGCCGUCCUUGUGUUUGGGGGUUGUAUCGAAGAAGAAGUGUCACAACAAACUAGUAGCAACAGAAGGCUGCGUGAUGAAAAAAGAACUAAACAUGUAUAGACAAUGGCAUUCCCAUAAAGAGCAAAAGAUUCAUAGGAUGCUUGGAUACGUUUUAGUCCCAUGACUAAAAGUAGUGGGACUAAAACUUGCUAGCCUCAUCCAUGCUUGGAUCCAAAUACUAAAGAGAUUAAAAUCAAGUUAAUGAGCAUUUAUUAUCCUCCAAAUCCUUCAAUCCUGAACUCGCAUGUGUUAAAGGAGAGGAGUUAAAUGAGGAGAGAGAGGACUAAUGCACAUUUUAGUAGGGGUACCCCUUACUAAAAGAUUUUAGCCUCAAGACUAGUUUUAGCCUCUCUUUAGUCAAGGGUACUUGAAACUUUAGCCUCUUAAAAAGAUUAUUUUUAAUCCCUUGAAUCCAAGCACCCUCUCAAUAAAGAGAAACAGAGGAUUGUGGACUCACAAGGACAACUUGAUGGUUGCAGGACCACUGGUAUAGUGUAGUGCACCUACACAACUGGAGCGGCUAAAAACUCAAAACACUUAAGCAGCCUAAGACAACAUUCAUGGUAACAAUAUAUUAAGUGCUUCAAUUAGUUAAUACUUUCGCCAUCCCAUAUUAGUUGGCCGGGGGCUCGGUUCCUCCUUUUCCAAAAAAAAUCCCAUAUUAGUUGUCGAUUAAACGGAUGUACCUAGCACUGGGAUACGUCUAUAGAUGCGUCCAUUUCAGUGACAACUAAUAUGGGACGAAGGGAGUACUUCAUUAUACCAUAACAAAGCAACACUAGAGGUCCGUGGAGCAACCUCUGGAGGCAGCAAAUUAAUCUUGAUACAGGAGUAAAGCAAUAGAGACCAACAUAGGGCAAACAACGCUGAUCGGUAGAGCGCUACGGGUCUAGGGCAUUUGCUGAUCAGAGGGGGAAGGGACACUACAAAAGAGACCGAUACAGAGAGCAGGCAGUGUACACUAGCUACUAAAUGAAGUGCAACCAGGCGGAAUAUGUAUUGCUUCACAGGUAAGAGUAAAUAGCAAAAAACAAAACAUGCAUAUCCAAGAGAGAGCUAAGCAAAGGCAAUAAUGCUACGUACCUCUGUUCUAAAAUAACUGUCUCAACUUUGUACUAGAGCUAAACAAAGGCAAUAUCGCUACGUAAUUAAUGAUGUUCUCCCUCCGUUCCAAAAUAUAAGACCUUUUAGGGAUUUCACUAGAAGACUACAUACGGAACAAAAUGAGUGAAUCUAUACUCUAAAAUAUGUCUAUGUACAUCCGUAUGUAAUUUAUAGUACAAUCUUUAAAAUGUCUUAUAUUUAGGAACGGAGGGAGUAUGUGAGAAGGUACAUACCAAGAGAGCUUACCUGAUGGCCUUUCAAGGUAUUUAGAGAAGACGGUUGGAAGUAGGGGCGUGUUAGGAAACUUGCUUUUGUGAUCUUUGACAUCCAAGGACCGUUGAUUGACAUAUACUCCCUCCGUUCCUAAAUACUCCCUCCGUUCUAAAAUAUAAGACAUUUUAGGUAUUUUAUUAGAAGACUAUAUACGGAGCAAAAUGAGUGAAUUUAUAAAUAUGUCUAUGUACAUCCGUAUGUAGUUUAUAGUACAAUCUUUAAAAGUCUUAUAUUUAGGAACGGAGGGAGUAUAAGUCUUUAAAGAAAUUUCAUUAAUGGACUACAUAUGGAUGUAUAUAGACAUAUUUUAGAGCAUAGAUUCAUCUUUUUUGCUCCGUAUGUAGACUUCUAGUGAAAUAUCUUAAAAGACUUAUAUUUAAGAACGGAGGGAGUAUACAGGGAGUACACGACAGCAGAGAUGGAUGCCUCACCAUCAAAGUCCUCCUUCCUUAACAGGCAGCGCAGAACAUCUGGGUCAAGAGCGCUGAUGAUUGGGUACUCGGGAAGACGCCGAGGAUUGACAAAAAGACCAUCCAGGUCGAUCGCACUCGAACCUGGAGUUACCACCCAUCAUGUUCAAAGUCGAAAUGGUGAUCUUUCGGAGAGGCUGUUGCCCUCCCCUCCCCAAUGGCAGCCAUUGUGCAGUUCAUUGUCAAUGUGGACGAAGCGCAUCUUGCCUUGGCUGAUGGACAAGCUUCGGAAUCUCUGCGCGAAGCACCUUUCGGCCCGUACCUCGGCAUCUCAUACACUUGUUCUCCAGGAAAAGGCACGAAGUGGGGACAAGUCAGACGACAUAUUGGAGAAGUCAGACAGGAGGACACCACUGAAGUAGUCAACCCAGCACAUCGAAAGCGAGCACAUGGUCGGUUGACCAAUGGCAAUGGGAGGGAAACUGGCCAUUGCUCUGACCCUGCGGCUGCGGGGCAUCCUUCAUGAAGGGUCUCCAUAUUCCUGACUCGGAGUUGGCAUGCAUGGAAUAAUUGCCAGCGUCCUCCUUUUCCCCGUAGAGGAUGAGGUCGAUCGGCAACGAUGUACUGUACUACGUAGCACUUGGAUGCCUGUGGUGAAUUUACUCAUGAGGAACGGCCUCCUCCUGUCCUCGGUGUAGGUGUAGAGAGGGAGCUGCUCAACCGAGGGGGAAGGGGAAGGAGCGGUGGCCGUGUAGACGAAGAGAUCUGGCGGGGCGCCGAGUCUUGCUCGGGAUGGAGACAUGGAAGAGGACGAUCGAGGUCCUUGUCGACUGCCCGGACGUAGGCAUAUAUAGGCAGGAGCCAUGGUGGCUGAGCCUCGUCGCUUGCAUAUAUAGGCAGGAACCAUGGUGGCUGAGCCUCGUCGCUUGGGCCAGGCCAGUGGAGAUCGAAGUAGCUAGGAGGCCCCCACUUAUGGUUGUGGAUGAGUCGUGGCCGCUGUCCAUGUUGACUUGAGCAGUUGUGAAAGGAUGCAUGCGUGCAUGUCCCCGCACCUACAUGUCCCUACGAAUUUCAGACAAUCAGACCAGCCGCCUAACAUAAGAGAGAGAGAAAAAACGGUGGGCGAACACAACCUGAGAUUGAGGUCAGGACGAAGAAAGCCUUGAGUUUUUUUUUUUUUUUAAAGGGCGUCCUUUAUUAACUUAUAAUGAAGCAUCAAAGAAAGAGAAAACACCACAUGGUCACGCAAGAGGAACCGACUGACAGGUGCAGGCAGCAACAAUUCUAGACCAUACAGCUAUGAGAGCUUCCCAAUUCAAGAGAGCUUAGAAAUAUUUGGGAUGCUCAUCAGUACAUCAUGAUUAGAUGAUCCAGAAACAUGCAUUGUCUACUCUAAUAGAUAUAGGUAUUCAUCAGUACAUCAUCUUCAUCACAUAAAUGCGGAUUUUGCCCUAUUGACUUCGUUCUGCCUGCAAUGCACCAUUAAGGAUUUAAUACAAACAUCAUCUUCGAUACGGGCGACACCAAAGUGAUCAACACCAUGUCACCAGAUUCCAUUUCUUUACGCUGCACACUUAGUCUUACGCUUCUUUGGAACAAACCUUACAGACGUGAGAUUAUGCUUCCUUGAAAGACGAGUUGCAACCUUGUCAUUGUCCAAUGCCACCCCUUUGAAAAUAGAAAUAAAAACAACUCAGAUAUAUACACCAUCUGAACAUCUUGCGAGCGGUAUGGGAAGAUGAGAUGAUUGCAACUUAAUAAAUGAUGUACACAAUAAUUGUUCAAAAAGAAGGAAUAGACAAAGAGAAAUGAUAUUGCAAUGGAGUAUAUUGAUAAAGAAACGUAAUGGCAUCAUAUCCUUGAUUUGGUUUCAGAUCGUAAUGACUCCAUAACUCUUUUCCAUUGGCUCUCAGCUAACUUGUCAUCAAAGUGUUAUCUGAGAACACCACAUUAGCCAUGAUGUGACGUUUGUGGCAUGAAUGAGCAGGUAUCACCUUUGUCAAUCAGCUGGAAGGACUACAAUGGACACGCGGGGGAUUGGUGGCGACCGUGCUGCAGACAAGGCCAGCACAGGGGUGCUAUAUUCAGGUGGCAAAAGGCUGAAGGCAGCAAGAAAGCAGCAAACUCAAGAUACAUGGAGUCCCCACAAACAGUCCACGUACAAAGGACGUCGGAUUAGGGAUGACGAGAUGUAGAAGUCAGUCGGAAGGCUUGUAGCCAGAAUCAAGCCAAAGACAGUAACAUGAGAAGGCCAGCAAGGCUAACGCUACAGGAGUUUUACCUAAUGACAUUCCCAUGCAGGGAGAACGGCUUUUCCUUGGCCGAGUAUCCAGUUACACACGGGUAUAAAAGGUACAUAAUAUCAGAAUCAAAAGGAUUCCAACAGGAACAGCCAAAGAUGUGGCCUGGUUGAUCCAAUGUAACCAAAACAAAACUCAUUCUAAAACUUUUAACAACAGAAAAAAAUAUGUGUUAAAAUCAUCGUAUAUCAUCUUCUAAAGGUACAAGAUACAUUUGAUCCUACAGAGAACAUAGAGGACAGUAUAGUCUUAUCCUUCACCAGAGCAAUUAAAAUAGUGUGGUUCCUAGAAUUCGCUUCAAAACAGCAAACAAGAGUAGCAGCAACAAAAGGCUGCAUGAUGAAUCAAGCACUACACGUGUACAGAUAAUGGACAGUCCCAUAUAAAGAGCAAAAGAUCCAGCAUGCAUGGAAAGACAGGAGGAUUCUAGGCUCUCAAAGACAACUUGAUGACAGAAGGACCAGAGCUAUUAUAUUGAUAUAUAUACAGUGUAGUGCACCUACACAUAACACAACUGGAGCGUCUAAAAUUGAAACGCUUCAACAGCCCAACAGAAGGUUCAUGGUAACAAUAUCCUAAAUGCUUCAAUUAAUUAACAUGUUACUAUUUUUUGUUGAGGGGUAAUUAAUGAGCAUAUUACUAUUAACACAGGCACACUAGAGGUCGGUGAUGAAGGCGGGACAUUGAAAAAUCUGAGACAAGAAUAGCAUCCGGCACAAAGCCCUGAUAAGUAGAGUGUACGGGGUCUAUAUAGAAGUCAGAUAGUUGCUGAGAAUCGUACGCCCAACCAGGCAGCACGUGAGUUGAAUCAUACUUCUUCCUCUGUACUGAAAUACUUGUAGUUGGGGGAACUUGUACUAGUUUCCCCCAGCUACAAGUACUUGGGUAAAGAGGUAGUAGAUUCAUAGGUAAGAUAACAAAUAAGCAAAAAAGACCAGUGUUACACUACCAUAUCCAACAGAAAGCUGAGCAAAGGCGACCAUGUUAUGUAAUACUGUAUGCAAGUACUGUAGGUAAAAGACAUAAUUUGGGUACUUAUACAAGUGAGCUUCUUGUAGCUAGUUACCUGUUGGGCUUUCAAGGUCAAGGUGUUUGGAGAAGACAGUUGGAAGUAGGGGCAUAUUGAGGAAAUCGUUUUUGUCAUCCACGCACUCAGAACAGCCCGCAUCCUGGCACUCAGCACAGUAGGACUGUAGAUUGAUAUAUUGAGUACAUGACUUGAGUUUCGCAUGCUUCAUGUCAAGCAUGAUCAUCCACCCCUUGCCAUGAAAUUCCUUCUCCCUUAACAGGCAGCAUAGAACAUCCGGGUCAUCCACACUGACGAUUGGGAACUCGGGAAGACGCUGUUGUAUGAGCAGAGCUUUGUAACGGCGUUGCGCCCAAAGAGCAUCCAGGUUGAUCAUGGCAUGUGGCUCCCAGUUGAACUUGUCGGAGUUCAAAGUCCAAACGGUGAUUUUUUGGGGACCCUGAUGCUGCUGCCCUUGGCUUGUUAUGGGAGGAAGCUGAUGCCAUGGCGAGUCCUCGUCGUGGAUUCUCUCAUGGAAGUCAUUGUCAAUGUGGACAAAGCGCAUCUUGCCUUGGCUAAUGGACACACUUCGGAACCUCCCCGGGAAGCGCCUUUGGAGCCGUAGCUCGUCAGGGUAUUCUUGUUCUCCAGGGAAAGGUACGUAGUGGAGGGGACCCAGCACAGGAAACGGUGGUCGAAAGCGAGCACGUCGUCAGUUGACCAGAGAUUGGGGAGCUGGCCACUGCUCUGCUUCUGCUUCUGCUUGGGUGCGUGCCAACGUAUCAGGCCAGGCAUAAUGGGGAAGAUUGUCCACUCUUCAGUCGGGGAGGAGGAGUCCAAGAAGCAGAGUGCACGAUCCAGGACACUGAGGUCGGCAACGAUGUAGCGCUUCUCCGAGACCCGCAAGAUGCCUGUGGCAAAUCUAUCCAGCAGGAACCACUGCAUGCCUUUUCCUCCUCAGUGUACCGAGGGAGCUGCUGCACCGAGGGGGAAGGACCGGCGGCCGUGUAGACCAACAGAUCUGGCGGGGCGCCCGGGUAGGGAAUCCGGCUACUGUCGUAGAUGUCGAAGAGGACGAGGUCCUUGUCGGUUGCCCGGACGAAGGAACAGGCAUCGUCGGAUCCUUCUCCCACCGGACAGUGGAGGUUGAGGUAGGAGACCCCAUUCGGAGCCGCGAGGGUGAAGGACACGUAGCAGGAGCGGUUGCGGCGGGUCAAUGCGGAUGCGAGCGGCGGACUUGUUCUUGCUGACAACCAGACGGGCGGCGUCUAGGUCCUUGUGGCAGCGGGUGCGGCCGGAGCGAUCCAGCAUCGCCCAGUCGGGGAAGAAGGCGGUCUCCUCCAUCGCCCAAUCGGUGAAGACGUCGGCCUCCUCCACGGCCCCACUAGCUGCUGCGCCGCGUGAGGCGUGCCGCUGCAGUGCAAGGUAGGCACUUUGUUCUUUUCUCUUGUUUAUUUGUGAUUUGUGUGAUGCAUCAUCAUGCAAGCGAUGAGAGCCUUUUCAACAAAAUAUAUAGGCUGUUCACGUGAGAACAAACCGCAUCAUAUGCAAUAGUAUAGUCAGGUGCAAGUUGCUGGUUGAAAAAAAAGAAAAAAAAAUCGGCAACUGAUGAUAGGCUGUUUUGACGAGAAAUAUAUUGGUGGUUAGUAGAAUUAAGCUCCCAUGACUUGGUCUUCAGAUUUGUAAACGAUUAUCAAAGAAUAUAAGAUUCCUAGAAACAACAGAUGAGAAAUAAGUAUACUAAGUGAUUGUCAAACGACCAACGCUGAGCCCCGCCACCUCGUCCAUCGUUGUUGCCAACGAUGGGGAUGAGCCCCUGAACCUCAUCAUCACGCCCAGAUUAUCUUCUCCUCCCACUCUGAUUCCUCCGUUGGAAGCUCAUUCCUGCAAGGAUGCCAUCUCUGUCGCCCUUUUUCUUGGCCUGACAGCGCGAGUCCAGUAGCAAGCAAAAGGUGAUACAAACAGAUACCAAGAUGAGAAUGCAUGAUACAAGGCACCAUGCCUUUAUCUGUUAGAUCUGGAAUGCAAAGAAAACAAAAAUAAACAAGUAAAUUUCAUCAAAGUAGUAAUGCAUCAAAGUUGUAUCUAAGAGUUAUGAUUUAUAAGGCUUAGCUACACAAUUCUUUUCGAGAAAAUAUUUAUACAUAAAAAUGGCAAGAGAAAUGUUGCAUUGUUCACAACAUGGUUAGAGUGACAUGGCUUCCAAUGUUACAAAUCAGUCGCCAAAUGUUUUCAUUUGACAUUGACAUAACAGAAGGUUGGUAAAUAUCAUGAAAUGCUUUCCCCUUAAACAAUUAUGUUUCUGACAGGAAACAUUUGAUGAUAUCAAUCUUUUUUCGGUUAUGACAAUCAUUUUUCUUGUUAGUCCUGACGACACCUUUGAUUUCAACAUCUUAUCAAAUUGUUGCAAAUGACUAAUGAUCUAUAGCACAAACAGAUCCAUUAGAAGAAUGUCGUUACCAGAAAUUUGAUUUCGGCAUCUUAUCAGACUGUUGUUGGUCCUGACCACACCUUCGUAUAGUGUUACCUUUCUUGCACAUGAGACGCUAUGAUGUGUUUUGAAGUCGUAACUCGGAAUGUCAACAACUUUACCAUGUUUUAGUGUUUCCAUACAAGAGAGUAGUAAAUCCGUACCAAAUGCAUCUCCAAUUAGGACAGGAGCAACAUCAAUAACAAAGUCAGUCCACAUCUCUUGCCAAUAGCACAAAAAGACAUCCGGUUCUCAUGAAACAUGCGUUGUACCUAGAUGAUCAAAGUUAUAAUCACGAAUACAAAGCGUUUCCUCGUUAGACAGUCCGUAAUAAAAUGGCUUUUGUGAUAUUUGAGGUCAAAAUUCUUAUUGCUUGAGAGAUUGUACCAAUCAUACGAUUACAAUAAAAUUAUAGCAAGGGAUGUUGAUAAAAAAUUUGAAAGCAUAGUUAAUGACACUACACACAUAUAAAAGAGGAGAAAUAAACUAUUAGUGAUUUUAUCAAGAAAAACUGGAUUGUCCAAUUACCAUAAGAAGCGUUAUCAUAGUUGUAAUACAUAAAACCCGAGUAAUAACAACUAUACACUGAUUGCAUAGCUGAUUGAAGAUCAUUUUGCAAACAAUAUUUUUACCUCAAGAAAGGAAGAAGGUUUGUUUUCAUCAUAUGAUGGGUGAGGUGCAUUUGGUGUAGAAAGUUUGUACCAUGUAAGCGACUACAAAUUACUGAAUUUCUGCUACCUAAGAGAAAGAACAGAACCCAUCGACUAAUGUCCAUUCUCCAGGCCUCACAUCAUUGGUAGAUCCACCCCCGACAAAGAAUCUUUCAAGUCCAGCUCGUGCAAACGGAGUGCUAGAUGAUGGACCCCAACCGCGGUAGCAUUAAGCACUUCACGUGUCGAGUACGUUCCCAUCUAGUGUUCGACAAACCUAAAUUCAUCUGGAUAUAAAGUAAAAGGGUAAAAUUAGGAUGUUAAAAAGCCACUUAGAUCCACGUCUUGGUGCAAAAGAAUUAUUAAAUGAUUAUACAAGCCUUUAAGAUGAAGAUCCAAACAAAAAAAUGUCCAGAAAUGAUGAGACAUUGCGAUAAAAUAAUUUUGUCUUCUAUAAAUGUACCCUUGAAAAGACAGAAUAUAAGUGUGUGAAAACAGUUUGUCGAGAAGACAAACCUUAUUCCUUUCCUCAGGCGCUAGGCAUACAUUUUGAGAGCUCAUGGCAAGACGAUCGACUUCUCGCACUAUAUCUGAUCCUACUAUCUGUAUGGCAAAAUCAAGGUCACAAACCUGAAAACACCAUGAGCAUAUUUAAGUAACUGGAGCAAUUAACAAAAUGGUCCAGAUCCAAUGGUACCUAUAGCUGAGGCAAUUAGAAAGGAAGCUUCGCAAUUUUCUCCAUCAUUAUAAUCGGAAAAGUCAUGGUCUAGUCACUGGAAUGGCAAUGCCAAGAACUGAAUAAUUUGUUCAAGCAAUUAAAAAGAGCAUCAUGAAUUUUGUCGCACACAAACUCAUGCAUGCUGACUCAACGAUUACUUAAUCCUAAGGGUCUGAGUGCAGGGUCUAAGNNNNNNNNNNNNNNNNNNNNNNNNNNNNNNNNNNNNNNNNNNNNNNNNNNNNNNNNNNNNNNNNNNNNNNNNNNNNNNNNNNNNNNNNNNNNNNNNNNNNGUUCGGAGUCCCGGAUGAGAUCACGGACGUCACGAGGGUUUCCGGAAUGGUCCGAAAACGAAGAUUGAUAUAUAGGAUGACCUCAUUUGAUUACCGGAAGGUUUUCGGAGUUACCGGGAAUGUACCGGGAAUGACGAAUGGGUUNNNNNNNNNNACCGAGGAGUCUCUCGGGUCAUGUCUACAUAGUUCUCGAACCCGCAGGGUCUGCACACUUAAGGUUCGACGUUGUUUUAUGCGUAUUUGAGUUAUAUGGUUGGUUACCGAAUGUUGUUCGGAGUCCCGGAUGAGAUCACGGACGUCACGAGGGUUUCCGGAAUAGUCCGGAAAUGAAGAUUGAUAUAUAGGAUGACCACAUUUGAUUACCAGAAGGUUUUCGGAGUUACCGGGAAUGUACCGGGAAUGACGAAUGGGUUCCGGGAGUUCACCGGAGGGGGGCAACCCACUCCGGGGAAGCCCAUAGGCUUUUGGGGGACACACCAGCCCUUAGUGGGCUGGUGGGACAGCCCCAAGGGAGCCUAUGCGCCAAGAUAAGAAUAUCAAAGGAAAAGAAAAAAAAAGGGAAGAAGUGGGAAGGGAGGGGGACUCCUCCCACCAAACCAAGUCCAACUCGGUUUGGGGGGGGAGUCCUCCCCCCCUUGGCUCGGCCGACCCCUUGGGGAUCCCUUGGACCCCAAGGCAAGGUCCCCCUCCCUCCUCCUAUAUAUAUGGGGCUUUUAGGGCAGAUUUGAGACGACUUUCUCACGGCUGCCCGACCACAUAUCUCCAUAGUUUUUCCUCUAGAUCGUNNNNNNNNNNACACCAGACCUUAGUGGGCUGGUGGGACAGCCCAAAAGGGCUCUAUGCGCCAAGAAGAGAAAAUCAAGAGAAAAAAAAGGAGGAGGUGGGAAGGAAGGGGGACUCCCUCCCACCAAACCAAGUCCAACUCGGUUUGGGGGGGGGGGGNNNNNNNNNNNNNNNNNNNNNNNNNNNNNNNNNNNNNNNNNNNNNNNNNNNNNNNNNNNNNNNNNNNNNNNNNNNNNNNNNNNNNNNNNNNNNNNNNNNNCACUCUAUAUAAGCCGCCCUUCACCACUGGUACAGGGGUUGGCACUUGCUGUAAUCCCUUAAGACACUCGACACAAAGCUCCCAAGAGCACUGAGACGUAGGGCUUUUACCUCCACCGUAGAGGGGCCUGAACUCAUACAUCCUCGCCGUAGCUAAGGCUAUGCCCAUAUACUUUUGUACCCCGUACUUCUACUGUCAGACUUAUACCCACGACAGUUGGCGCCCACCGUGGGGCAGGCGUCUAAGCGACUUCGGGCGAGUUUGCGAUUUCAUCUUUUCGUCAUAUGUCAUCCGGCGGAGAUCUGUGCAUGGGUCAUGAGAUCCUCUUCGGUGCACUUUCCUUCAUCGCCGAUGAUUCGGCAUGGCUUUAGGAUGCGCCCCUCGACAUCGAGACGCUUCCGAGUCGCGGGGCUACGCACUUCUGUGCCAGUUCCUGCGGUGUUCUUCUUCUCCAGCCAUCGACCCCGGUGUCAAUCUUCGCCCCCGUCACGCGCCGCAACAAGCGAUCCGGUCGUUCGCGGCUCCAGCGUUGGGUGCGACACGCCCUAGCGCGACAAAACAUGUCCUCUCAAGUGGCGGUGCUCGAAUUGAUUGUGGUCCUGCGGUCAUCCCAGUGCUUGGAGUCAGUUCCGACUGAACUACCUUCCGAGUAUCAGGGUCACGGGCCUGCAGCCGAAGUACUCAUGGCCGAUUCCCACGAAAGUCCCUCCGGGACUGGUCGGAACGAGCAUGAGAUCGGAGAAUCAUCCGGCGCUCGUCGUUAGCACCCUCGUUCUUCCAGUCGACGCGUUCGUCAGAGCAACGUCGAGGUGUUCCGCACACCCAUCCUCAACUUGGCUGCAGCCGCCAGGAUCGCUGAUUCUCUCCAGCCGAUUGAUUCGGAGGCUGGUAGAGGAAUCGAGCAGAUCCGUGCCUUGUUACACACGACGCAGCAGCAAAACUCAGCGGUCUCCCAGUCGCACAACAAGAUCCACAACAGUUCCGUUCAAGCGAACACACAUCGGUCGGUUUUCAGUCCCGGCUCUCACCAGCGUCGCAGAGGGGGCAGCCUCUGGAACGAUCGUUCCAGGGACCAGAGUCGGAAUCCGCCUUCCAUUCGGUCUCAUCCCGAAGAUCGUCGCCGUUCGCGUACUCCUCCGCGGAGUGGGCCUUACGGACCCCGGCAUUACGAUGAUCGUCGUUCGGGCGGUGACGCGCAUGAUCAAAGGCCUGAUGCAAGAGGGUAUAUCACCCAGAAGAAGGUUGAUAGAAGCCGAGCCCACCGUGGUGGUCACGAUAGAGAUCAUCCGAGUGGAAGCAGGACCGUUGUUUCUGGUCCCGAGUGUUUCAGUCGGGCCAUUCGCUCGGCUGACAUCCCUCCCAACUUCCGAUUGGCGACGGGAAUCAGCAAAUUCAUAGGAGAGUCCAAACCAGAAACUUGGUUAGACGACUACAGAGUGGCGGUCCAGAUCGGUGGCGGAGAUGACCAUAUCGCCAUGAAACAUCUCCCACUGAUGCUCGACGGUUCGGCUCGAGCUUGGCUAAACCAGUUAGCUCCAUCAAGCAUUUACAGUUGGGCAGAUCUGUCCCGAGUCUUCAUCAGGACCUUCGAGGGUACGUGCAAACGCCCUACUAGUCUCACAGAGCUUCAACAUUGUGUCCAAAAGCAAAACGAGCCCUUGCGCGAUGUCAUCCAGCGCUGGACAACCCUCUACCACACGGUGGAGAAUGUUAGAGAACACCAAGCAGUCCGCGCCUUCAAGGCAGGCGUUCGGUACAGAGAUCUAUACCUGAAGUUUGGUCGGACAGGCGACAUCUCCAUGAGCAAGAUGAUGGAGAUAGCCGUGCGCUAUGCGAAUGGCGAAGAGGAGGACCGCAUAUGUAGCGGCAAGCAUAAGUCAGAAGCUGACGGAGAUGGGAGCAGCAGUCGGAAGCAGAAGCAGAAAGCCCAAUCCACUCUGCAAGCAGAGGCGGCAGUCGUUACAAACACUAAGUCCAAAGGCAAGGGGAAACCACAGUACACCCCCAAGAAGAAACAGUUAGGAAAUUCCAUCCUAGAUCAACCGUGUCCGAUCCACACGAAGAUGGAUGAAGAAGGCAAUGUCAUAUUGCCGAAACAUACCACUCGGCAGUGUCGCCUCCUGAUCCAAGGAUUCGGUGCAGGACAGCCGAGUGAGAAAGACUCCGAGCAAGAUGAUGAGGACAAGGAGGAUCCGUUCCCUCAAGUCCAUGCAACGUUAAUGAUUUUUGCUGAUGUAGAAAGCAAAAGUCGACUGAAGCUGGUCAACAGGGAGGUAAACAUGGCAACCCCAUCCACUCCCACGUUCCUCAAGUGGUCACAGACUGCAAUCACUUUUGAUCAGUCAGACCACCCAGCACACGUACCCACCCCAGGGAGGCAAGCUCUGGUCGUCGACCCGGUGGUGGAAGGAGUUAGGCUGUGCAAAGUCCUCAUGGACGGCGGCAGCGGCUUGAAUAUCAUGUACGCUGAUACUCUCAAGGGAAUGGGCAUUCCGAUGUCCAGACUUAGCGAGAGCAGUAUGCAAUUCCAUGGAGUCGUCCGAGGAAGAAAGGCCAAAUCACUCGGCCAGAUUGCGUUGGAUGUCGUUUUCGGCUCCGACAAGAACUUCCACAAAGAGAAGUUAACAUUCGAGGUGGUAGACUUCCAGAGUGCAUACCAUGCCAUUCUGGGCCGUCCGGCAUAUGUACGUUUCAUGGCCCGUCCAUGUUACGUAUAUUUGAAGCUGAAGAUGCCUGGUCCCAAAGGCGUGAUUACUGUCAUAGGCAAUCGGCAGCGGGCCGAGGAGUGUCUGCAGCAGGGGUCGAGAAUUGUAGACCAUCAGAUGGCUGUACUCGAGUUGGAUGAGUACAAGAAGAUUGCCGACCCCGCCGACCUGAUGCGUUCAAAUAAGCCACCUUCCGAGUCCGCAUUCCAGCCGGCGGGAGACACGAAGAAAGUAAGCAUCCACCCGACGGAUGCCACCGCCGCCCCAACAAACAUAUCCACCACCCUUGAUCCAAAAUAGGAAGCCGAGCUCAUCCAAUUCCUCCGUGAGAACUAGGACAUUUUUGCAUGGAAGCCUGCUGACAUGCUAGGUGUACCCAGGGAGUUGGCUGAGCACCGACUGCAUGUGGAUCCUGCCGCUCGGCCCGUCCGAGAACGCCUGCGUUGGUCCGCCGCGCACAAGAGAAAAGCAAUCGGAGAGGAGGUAGCUAAACUUCUGGCAGCCAACUUCAUUCGCGAGGUACACCACUCCGAGUGGCUAUCUAAUGUUGUCAUGGUGCCCAAGAAGGACAAGUCUCUUCGUAUGUGCAUGGAUUUCAAGCACCUUAAUAAGGUCUGUUCGAAAGACCACUUCCCUCUCCCCCGCAUUGAUCAAAUCGUUGAUUCGACUGCGGGCUGCGAGUGCUUAUCCUUCGUUGAUGCCUAUUCGGGCUAUCAUCAGAUCCGUCUGUAUGGUCCAGAUGAAUUAAAAACAUCUUUCAUCACCCCAUUCGGGUGCUUCUGUUACAUCACUAUGCCAUUCUGUUUGACAAGUGCAGGAGCAAUUUUUAUGCGAAUGAUCCAAAAAUGCCUCCUAGACCAGAUUGGUUGAAAUGUGGAGGCAUAUAUGGACGAUAUCAUAGUCAAGUCACACAAAGGUUCCGACCUGCUGACUGACUUGGUAGAAACAUUCGCCAACCUACGUAGGUACGAUAUCAAGCUCAACCCAGCCAAGUGUUCAUUCGGCGUUCCCAACGGGAAGUUACUCGGUUUCUUCGUUUCCGAACGAGGGAUCGAUGUCAACCCCGAAAAGAUCGGGACCAUUGUUCGAAUGGAGCGGCCGGUAAGAGUACAUGACGUACAAAAGCUCACAGGUUUCCUAGCGGCUUUGAGCAGGUUUGUCGCUCGACUCGGCGAGAAGGCGUUACCUCUGUACCGACUCAUGAAGAAGUCGGAUACCUUCGAGUGGACAGACGAAGCCCAAACCGCAUUCGACGACCUCAAAGCCCUGCUUUCCACCCAGUCGGUUCUUACUGCCCCGCUCAGUAAAGAACCCCUUCUUUUGUACAUCGCGGCUACAAAUCAAGUCGUCAGAACCGUUCUGACAGUCGAAGGUGAAGAAGAAGGCAAAGCGUACAAGGUUCAGCGGCCAGUAUAUUGUGUUUCCAAAGUCCUGACUCCUUCCAAGCAGAGGUAUCCCCAUUAUCAGAAGCUUAUUUAUGGGAUCUACAUGACUGCAAAGAAGGUGGCUCAUUAUUUCCAAGACCACUCGGUAUCUGUCAUAUCUGAUGCUCCGUUGUCGGAAAUUCUCCACAAUCGGGACGCAUCAGGCCGAGUGGCAAAGUGGGCAAUGGAGAUGCUAUACUGCGACAUCAAGUUCGAAGCCAAGAAAGCUAUAAAGUCUCAAGCUCUUGCUGACUUCAUAGCAGAAUGGGUAGAACAACAGCAACCGACUCACAUCUACUCGGCUCAUUGGACCAUGUUCUUCGAUGGGUCCAAGAUGUUGAAUGGCUCCGGCGCCGGCGUAGAGCUCAUAUCCCCGAAAGGUGAUAAACUCAAGUAUGUGUUGCAGAUCCAUUUUGAUUCUUCCAACAACGAAGCAGAGUACGAAGCUCUCCUUUAUGGGUUGCGCAUGGCCAUCAUACUCGGCGUCCGUCGCCUGAUGGUCUAUGACGACUCAGAUCUAGUGGUUAAUCAAGUAAUGAAGGAGUGGGAUGUAAGGAACCCCACCAUGACUGCAUACUACAACGCAAUAAGAAAGCUCGAAAAGAAGUUCGAAGGUCUGGAACUUGACCAUGUUCCCCGACUGAAAAACCAAGCAGCAGAUGAAUUGGCAAAACUUGGAUCCACACGGAGACCUGUGCCGAGUGAUGUCUGCCUCGAGCACCUAUACCUCCCCUUGGUAAAAGAAGAUUCUUUUACAGAGGAACCUGUGCAACCGAAGAGCUCAACAGAUCAGACUGAAGUCGAGGUUCCCGCUGUGGUUGACCUGGUCAUGGAGAUUCUAGCUGUCAUUCCCGAAUGGACUGUGCCAUUCAUUGCGUACAUCCUGAGGCAAGAGUUACCGGAAGACGAGGUCCAAGCUAGGCAGAUCGUUCGCAGGUCGAAGUCCUUCACCGUCGUUGAUGACCAGUUAUACAGAGAAAGUGUUUUAGGCGUCCUUGAACGGUGUAUCUCUCCUGAGGAGGGUCGGUUAAUUUUGAAAGAAAUUCACUCGGGAACCUGCGGCCAUCAUGCCUCCUCAAGGGCAAUCAUUGCCAAAGCAUUCAGAGCUGGUUUCUUCUGGUUGCAGGCGAAUGAAAUGGCAAAAGAUAUAGUCGACCAUUGCGAAGGUUGUCAGUUCUAUUCAAACAAGUCCCACAAGCCAACGUCCGCGCUGAAGACAAUUCCCCUUUCUUGGCCAUUUGCCGUGUGGGGAUUAUAUACAGUCGGACCAUUCAGAACAGGCCAAGGAGGAUUCACCCAUCUGCUGGUAGCAGUCGACAAGUUUACCAAGUGGAUUGAAGCCAAGCCAAUCAAGAAGCUUGAUGCCCUUACGGCCAUCAAAUUUAUCACAGACAUCAUCGCCAGAUACGGGGUUCCACACAGCAUAAUCACCGACAAUGGCACAAACUUUAACUUGGACGAGUUCAAAGGUUUUUGCGCAGGCCAAGGUAUCCGAGUGGAUUUUGCAUCCGUUGCGCACCCCCAAACAAAUGGACAAGCGGAGCGGGCGAAUGGACUCAUUCUUCAAGGGUUGAAGCCUCGACUCCUGCGGGAAGUUGGACAUGCCGCCAGCGCAUGGGUCACCGAGCUGCCUUCGGUGUUGUGGGGCCUCCGAACAACUCCAAAUAGAUCGACAGGACGAUCCCCGUUUUCCUCUUUUAUGGAGAAGAGGCAGUCCUUCCGAGUGACUUGCUUCACAACUCUCCACGAGUCGAACUCUUCUCCGAAGCCGAAGCAAAGCAAGCCAGGCAAGACGGAGUAGACCUUUUAGAAGAGGAGCGCGAGAUGGCAUUGAUCCGUUCAACAAUUUAUCAGCAAGAUCUGCGUCGAUUUCAUGCGCGGCACGUCAGGAGCCGCACGUUCCAAGCAGGCGACCUGGUGCUCCGAGUGGAUCAACAGAGACCACACAAGUUGGCUCCCUCCUGGGAAGGACCGUUCAUCAUUUCUAAGGUGCUGAACAACGGAGCGUAUCGACUCUACAACCUCAACAGGGAGACAGACGAGCCGCGAGCAUGGAAUGGAGAUCUACUGAAGCGCUUCUACACAUAACCGCCGACAGAGACAAUGUAAAGAACAAAUGUCAUCGAAGUAAUACAAAGCGGAUUAAUUUCUUGCCGAUUCAAAAUUCUUCCGCGUUUGCAGACUCCGGUCUAAAAAACUUACUCCGAGUGUGCACCAAAAGUCACACUCGGAGACUUAGCUGCGAACCAGAGUCGCCUAAGUAAACAACUUGCUCCGAGUAUGCACCAAAAGUCAUACUCGGGGACUUAGCUGCGACCCAGAGUCACCUAAGUAAACAACUUGCUCCGAGUGUGCACCAAAAGUCACACUCGGGGACUUAGCUGCGACCCAGAGUCGCCGAAGUAAACAACUCGCUCCGAGUGUGCACCAAAAGUCACACUCGGGGACUUAGCUGGGACCCAGAGUCGCCUAAGUAAACAACUUGCUCUGAGUGUGCACCAAAAGUCACACUCGGGGACUUAGCUGCGACCCGGAGUCGCCUAAGUAAAAAACUUGCUCCGAGUGUGCACCAAAAGUCACACUCGGGGACUUAGCUGCNNNNNNNNNNAGACUUAGCUCCGACCCAGAGUCGCCUAAGCAAACAACUUGCUCCGAGUGUGCAUCAAAAGUCACACUCGGGGACUUAGCUGCAAACCAGAGUUACCUAAGUAAAGAGCUUCCUCCGAGUGGGCACACAAGUUACACUCGGAGGCUUAGCUGAGUCGCUAAACAAAAACCACGAGCCAAAAUCGUGUCAAAAAAAAACUCAGCGAAAGAAGAGCAAAAGAUCCGGUUCGAAUUAAAAUUGAGUUCAACGAUCAGUCGGCUCGGUGUGAAUCAAGUUUAUCCACACUGAGCCACGAAUGUACCGGCCAACAGCAGUGGCCAAAGUUUAAUACAAACUCCACUCGGCAUACCGAGGUAAAUGCGCGUUCAGCAUAAAGUCAAUCAAGCAUCGUCGGGGCUGGCAGGCUCGACGAAGGUGUCGAGGUCGAUUCCAUCUGCAAUCCGAGUGGCCGUGUCGAGGAAGGUCUCCAUGAAGUCUUCAAAUCGAAGCUUCUUGGUGUUGGCGACCUGCAACAUCUUCAGCUUGUCUUCACGGGCUUCCUUACAGUGCACUCGGACCAGAGACAGCGCCACGUCCGCGCCACACCGAGCGACAGACUUCUUCCAUGCCUGCACUCUGCUUGGAACAUCCUCCAGUCGAGUCAUCAACCCCUCUAUCUCAUUCCAGGAGUCAUCUUCAGGCCACAGCUCUUUGUCAAUUCGGCCGACAACUUCUCUCAGGCGACCAAUGAAAGGACCCACCUUGUUAAGGCGGGAAUUCAGUCCAAAUAUGUCCCGGUUAGCUUCAUCAUCGAGUGGAACAUUCGGUUGCCCAAGCGCCGAUUCAAUUUCGGCGGUCUCGGCUUCAACGUCCCGACAGAAAUCUGCAAAGAAAAGACAGGGAGAAAAUAAGCGUGGAGUGAACUCCAAAGUCAAAGAGCACUCGGCAAGCAACUUACCACCAAGCAGUGCGGCCAUCUUCUUCGCCCAGUCGCCGACGUAUUUCUCCCGUGCUUUGCACCGAGCGUUCAUUGACUUCAGCUGGCCCACCCAUUCGGAUAUCUCCUUCUUCAUAUUUUCUAACUCGGCUAACAGUGCCUUGUUAGUCUCCCGAGAUUCCUCCAAAGAUUUUUCUCGUUCAGUGAGAGCCUUCUUCAUGCCAGCCAUAUCAUUCGCAGCUACCUCCAAGUCGGCAGCAAGUUGAGUCUUCUCAGCCAUCAGAGCAUUAUAGGCCGAUCCCACUUCACAAGUCUUCUGUCAAAGAGACACAAAGGGAGGAUCAGCCAAAUUCAACAAGGAAAAAGUCUCGACAGAUAUGACAAAACAAUCAAAACUCAAGAUUCUUCAGACCCCUGCCGAUGCAAGCAAUCGACAGCGGUCUCGGGGACUACACCCAGUGGGUUCACUGAGAGUGACCCCACUGGUAUGAAGCUCGAACAGGUUGGUCCCAUUGAGCUCCAUAGCAAACCAACAACACUAUGAGACUACUAUUACUCGACCCGAGUAACACUACUCUCGGGGACUACACCUAGUGGGUGCACUCGGCGUGCCCCCACUGGUACCAUUCGGGCAGAUCAGCUCUGAUCUGUAGAGAUUAUGGAAAAUACAUAUAAAGACAACUGCCGGUGCAAACACUUGGCAGAAGUCUCGGGGACUACACCCACUGGGUUUACUCGGAGUGAACCCACUCGAAAAUUAACCUACUGUAUCCGAGUAUGCAGCCAAAACCCCCAGUGGGCACCAAGAGGAAUGUAAACACUUACUAGCGCACUUACUCGGAUAUCAUCCCGAAGCUCCAAGCUCUUCUUGUACAGGGACGCAACGGAGUCAUAUGCUCCCUUGGCUUCGCCCACCAUCAGCUCCACUUGUACCAUGGCGUCCUUGGCGGCUCCUACUUGAUCUUCCGGGAGGCGUCGGGCAUCAUAGUGAACAGUCGACGGACCCGGCGUGGCAGAAGGCGCCCUAGACAUCCCGAGCUCCCUGGGAAUCCCAAGCUCUGCUCCAGUCAGUUCCCCGUGAAGGCCACCGUCUCAGUCGGCGGCACGCUCAUGGCGGGGUUGGCAGCAGGUUGGAUAACCCCAGGGACAGGCGCCAAAGCUGGUUCCGACCCCCUUUGGUCGUCGUCGUCCAGAUGGAUCACCUUCGAAGGAAGCCCGACUGAACAAGAUAAAAAUACAAAAAAAGAUCAAGAUCAAAGACAGCACUCGCGAAACGGUAAUACAGCUCUCGGAGUCGUGACAACGUACCUUGCUGGGACGUGGCGGCGUCAUCAGUGUCCAUGGGAUCGUCACCCUGACACGGCAGAGAGGUGGCGGAGGUAGCAGCUCUGUUGAGUGAAAUCCAUUCGACGAGUAAACAUGAAUUCCCAAAAAGAAGAGUCCAAUCAGAUAUUGAAGGAAGAUGGAAGAGCAAAGAUACUUAUGCUGAGGCGACCGGAACAACGAUCCUCAUCCAGGGCAAAGCUUUCUGAGGUUUAGACCCGCUGGGUUUAGCCACCUUGGACGGCUGAUCCACGGGCUCGGCAGAAGAACCCUUGGUUCUCUUCACACUCCAAGCACUCGGGGCCACGGGAGGAGCUGGCGGAACAACGGGGUCAUGACGGUGCUUGGUUCGGCGUUCUGGUGGUGAGGGUGACGAGCUCUGCUCUUCACUCUCCUCCUCCUCCUCUUCUGUUUCCUCCUCCAUCUCCCUACUGUCAGAGACGUACACGACACUACCCGCGCUACCCUCCAUGCUGCCUUCUUCUUCCUCGACCGGAUCCCCACCUGAGACUGCAGAAUGACAGUUCGUCCACUCCUGCACAAAACAUAGUCGGCAACGUCAGUCGGCGAGACAAGAAAAGCAAUAAAACUGAGAAGGUUAAAAGCACUCGACAACAUGUACUCACCUCAUUCGGAGGAGGAUUUUGGGCGCGGAAGGCCUUCACCCGCCGAGCUCCCACGGGGUUAUCACAUGUGCCCGUGAUGCUGCGGACCCACGCACCCACGGUCUCCUUGCUCACGUCUUGAGGAUGGGACCGAGUGGUAUCCGAAGGCCCCGUGUAAUGCCACAUUGCAUGGUCUCGGGCCUGGAGCGACUGGAUGCGUCGACCCAGAAAAGUCUCCAGCAGGUCCAUGCCGGUGACUCCGUUCCGGACGACGGUUAUCAGCGCGUCGAUCAAAGGCUGGAUCUGGGUUUUUUCUCCCUUAGAGAGCGCUAGCUUCCUGGGAGGGUACGGACGGUCUAAACUAAAGGGUGGUAACCCACUCGGAGCAUUUGAGCAGGCAAUGUCCUGGCAAUAGAACCAGGACGAUUGCUAGUUCCUAACCGACUCGGAUAGCUGAAGGGAGGGAUAACUACUUUUCGCUUUCUUCUGAAAUCCUAAACCCCCGCAGAGCUGGAGGAUGUGUGUCUUAUCAUCAGAGUGGCUAAGUUUCUUAACCGUUUGAGAUCUAGCAGAGAAAACAUAUUUGAAGAGCCCCAGUGGGGAGGACACUCGCACAGGGUGAUGAAUGCGGAAAGAUGAGCUAUCGCAUUCGGCGGAAAGUGAUGGAUCUGCGCCCCGAAGUAGUUCAUAAUACCUCGGAAGAAAGGAUGGGGAGGCAGGGAGAAACCUCUGGCCACGUGGCUGAGCAGCAGGACGCGCUCCCCCUCCCUCGGCGCCGGCUCCAUCUCGCCUUCCGGCAGCCUCCAAGACUUAUUGACGACCAUGCCGUGCUCCACCAGCUCCAGCACGUCGGUCUCCCUCACCGUGGAGGGGAGGAAGUCCCCCUGGAUCCAGCCUGCCGGCAAUGCCCGCUUCCGCUGCUGAAUGGAGGCCGCCCCCUUCUUCUUCUUCUUCACCUCAAGCUUGCUGGUCUGCCCCUUCGUCAUGGCGAGGGCGACGGAUCUGCAGAGGAGGAGGGGAAGGAGGUAGCUAGAGGUAUGCAGGGAGUUGCGGGGGGNNNNNNNNNNNNNNNNNNNNNNNNNNNNNNNNNNNNNNNNNNNNNNNNNNNNNNNNNNNNNNNNNNNNNNNNNNNNNNNNNNNNNNNNNNNNNNNNNNNNNNNNNNNNNNNNNNNNNNNNNNNAGGUCCGCCGGGGAGGCUUUAAAAGGCCUCCGACUGAGUCACCUACAGGUGGGCCCAAGAUCUUAUCCUCCCAACCGGCUGCUGCAAGAUUAGUGGAGAAGAUCGCGGCGUGGUAACCGAGGAGGCGAAAUCUACUCGAUGGCGAUGACGUCAUCCCCGCUGAGCGCGCGACAACCGAAAUUUGAGAAUCCCAGAAAAUUUGGCGCUGUGAGUAUGACCGGUCACGUCGAAAGAUUUCGCGGAAGCAAUCGGUCCCUCACGGUUCGUUUCGCUUGCAUAUUCACUCGGAUCACUAGCCGCAAAGAUAAAAUGGAUUGAGGCAGACAACGCUAUGAUCACCUCAAUACCAGUCGGCUCCAAACUUCGCACAUCACUUCAUCGUUCCAGCCCCGGUCCAUUCGGGGACUAAUGAUGGGGUUAUAGUCUGAGGGUAGGGUCAUAGGUCUGCCCUAUAGGUCCUACCCAAGGACUACCCNNNNNNNNNNNNNNNNNNNNNNNNNNNNNNNNNNNNNNNNNNNNNNNNNNNNNNNNNNNNNNNNNNNNNNNNNNNNNNNNNNNNNNNNNNNNNNNNNNNNCUGAGAACAAUUUUGAGAUGUCCUGAAGGAAUUUGGAAACAUGAUCAAUUUUUGAAAGCACGAACAUUUUUUGAAUCUUGAGAACGAAUUUCUGAAAUUGUGAAUAUUUUUUGGAAAAACCCAAACAAAUUUGCGAGCACGAACAAUUUUGUAAAGCACGAACUUUUUUUGAAUCAUGAAAACAAAUUUUAGAAAAAGGAGAACAUUUUCGAAAUACCCCAAAAAAAUUUGAAAGCGCAAACAAAUUUUUAAAGCCCGGACAUUUUUGGAAUCUUUAGAACAAACUUUGAAACCAAGAAAAUUUUUGCAAUGUCCUGAACGUAUUUGGAAACGCGAACAAUUUUUGAAAGCACGAACAUUUUUUGAAUCUUGAGAAAGAAAUUUUGAAAUUGUGAAUUUCUUUUGAAAAAAAAACCCAAACAAUUUUGUGAAUCACGAACAUUUUUUGAAUCUUGAAAACAAAAUUUGAAAAUUGCUGAUGAAAUUUGAAAACACGAACAAUUUUUUAAAGCAAAAGAAAAUUGAAUCCUGAGACAAAAUUUUAAACUGGAGAACAAUUUUUUAAAAAAAACCCGAAAUUUUCUAGAAGCGUGAGCAAUUUUUUAAAGCACGAACAUUUUUUGAAUCUUGAGAACAAAUUUUGAAAAUNNNNNNNNNNNNNNNNNNNNNNNNNNNNNNNNNNNNNNNNNNNNNNNNNNNNNNNNNNNNNNNNNNNNNNNNNNNNNNNNNNNNNNNNNNNNNNNNNNNNGACGUAACCCUUUACGACAAACUCUUUAACCACCUCCAUAAUCGAGAAAAAUUCCUUAGUCCAUUAGUUACUAAGGAUAAAUUUCGACCGCUGCUAGUGAUUCAAUCAUGGAUCACUCUCUGUACCUCUCAACAUACUUUGAGUCAAGGCACACAUCAGGUGCAGUACACAGCAUGGCAUACUUUAGAUUCUACGGUUAAGGCAUAGAAGACGACCUUCGUCUAUUCUCUUUAUUCUGCCGGGGUCGGGUUUUGAGUCUUACUCAAAUUCACACCUCACAACGCAACCAAGAACUCCUUCUUUGCUGAUCUAUUUUGAACUCCUUUCAAAAACUUGUCAAGGCAUGCAUCUUGUUGAAACUUCUAUUAAGCGCUUUUCGAUCUAUCUCCAUAGAUCUUUGAUGCUCAACGUUCAAGUAGCGUAAUCCAAGUACUCCUUUGAAAACUUCUUUCAAAACAACCUUGUAUGCUUUACAGAAAUUCUACAUUACUUCUGAUCCACAAUAUGUCAACCACAUAUACCUAUCAGAAAUUCUAUAGUGCUCCCACUCACUUCUUUGGAAAUACAAGUUUCUCAUAAACCUUGUACAAACCCAAAAUCCUUGAUCAUCUCAUCAAAGUGUAUAUUCCAACUCCGAGAUGCUUGCACCAGUCCAUUGAAGGAUCACUGGAGCUUGCAUACUUGCUAGUAUCUUUAGGAUCGACAAAACCUUUUGGUUGUAUCACAUACAAUGUUUGCUCAAGGAAACCGUCGAGAAAACAAUGUUUUGACAUCCUACGUGCAAUAUUUCAUAAAUAAUGCAUCAACAACUAACAUAAUUCUAACAGACUUUUAGCAUCGCUACGAGUGAGAAAGUCUCAUCAUAGUCAACUGUUUGAUCUUAUCGAAAACAUCUUUGCGACAAGUCGAGCUUUUCUUAAUAGUGACUUAUCACCAUCAUCGUCUAUCUUCUUUUAAAGAUCCAUUUUUACUCAAUAGUCCUAUGACCAUCAAGUAGUUCUACCAAAGUCUACACUUUGUUUUCACACAUGGAUCCUCUCUCGGAUUUCAUGGCUUCCAGCCAUUUGUUGGAAUCUGGGCCCACCAUCGCUCUCUCCAUAACUCGUAGGUUCACUGUUGCUCAACAACAUGACCUCCAAGACAGGGUUACCGUACUACUCUGCAGCAGUACGCGACCUUGUCGACCUACGAGGUUUGUAGUAACUUGAUUCGAAGCUCAAUGAUCAUCAUCAUCAGCUUCCACUUCAAUUGGUGUAGGCGCCACAUGAACAACUUCCUGCGCCCUGCUACACACUGGUUGAAGUGAUGGUUCAAUAACCUCAUGAAGUUCUACUACCCUCCCACUCAAUUCUUUCGAGAGAAACCUUUCCUCGAGAAAGGAUCCGUUUCUAGAAACAAACACUUUGCUUUCGGAUCUGAGAUAGGAGAUGUACCCAACUGCUUUGGAUAUCCUAUGAAGAUGCAUUUAUCUGCUUUGGGUUCGAGCUUAUCAGACUGAAACUUUUUCACAUAAGUGUCGAAACCCCAAACUUUCAAGAAACGACAGUUUAGAUUUCUCUAAACCUCAGUCUAUACUGUGUCAUCUCAACGGAAAUACGCGGUGCCCUAUUUAAAGUGAGUGCGGUUGUCUCUAAUGCAUAACCCAUAAAUGAUAGUGGUAAUUCGAUAAGAGACAUCAUAGUAUGCACCAUAACAAAUAGUGCGUGGCUAUGACGUUCAGACACAUCAUCACACUAUGAUGUUCUAGGUGGCAUGAACUGCGAAACAAUUUCCACAUUGUCUUAACUGUGUACCAAAACUCGUAACUCAGAUAUUCAUUUCCAUGAUCAUAUCGUAGAUAGUUUAUCCUCUUGUUACGACGAACUUCACUCUGAAACGGAAUUGAACUUUUCAACAUUUUAGACUUGUGAUUCAUUAAGUAAAUACUCCUGUAUCUACUCAAAUCGUCAGUGAAGUAAGAACAUAAUGAUAUCCACUGCGUGCCUCAGCACCCAUUGGACUGCAUACAUCAAAAUGUAUCACUUCCAACAAGUUACUAUCUUAUUUCAUCUCAAUGAAAACAAGGCCUUGCUCAUGUGGUAUGAUUCGCAUGUCACUAGUGAUUCAAAAUCAGGUGAGUACAAAGAUCCAUCAGCAUAGAGCCUCUUCAUGCAAUUUAUACUAAUAUGACUCAAGCGGCAGUGCCACAAGUAAGUGGUACUGUCAUCAUCAACUCAUAUCUUUUGGCACCAAUAUCAUGAACAUGUGUAACACUACGAUCGAGAUUCAAUAAACCAUUGAAGGUGAUUAUUCAAGAAAAUAGAGUAACCAUUAUUCUCUUUAAAUGAAUAAUCGUAUUGCAAUAAACACGAUCCAAUCAUGUUCAUGCUUAUCGCAAGCACCAAAUAACAAUUAUUUAGGUUUAACACCAAUCCCGAUGGUAGAGGGAGCGUGCGACGUUUGAUCAUAUCAAUCUUGGAAACACUUCCAACACGUAUCGUCACCUCGCCUUUAGCUAGUCUCCGUUUAUGUCGUAGCUUUCAUUUCGCGUCACUAAUCACUUAGCAACCGAACCGGUAUCCAAUACCCUCGUGCUACUAGGAGUACUAGUAAAGUACACAUCAACAUCAUGUAUAUCAAAUACACUUCUUUCGACUUUUGCCAGCCUUCUUAUCUACCAAGUAUCUUGAGUUGCUCCGCCUCGGUGAUUGUUCCCCUCAUUACAGAAGCACUUAGUCUCGGGUUUGGGUUUAAUCUUGGGUCUCUUCAUUAGUGCAGCAACUGUUUUGCCGUUUCACGAAGUAUCCCUUCUAGCCCUUGCCUUUCUUGAAACUUAGUGGCUUUACAAACCAUCAACUAUUGAUGCUCCUUCUUGAUUUCUACUUUCGUAGUGUCAAACAUCGCGAAUCACUCAAGGAUCAUUGUAUGUAUCCUUGAUAUGUUAUAGUUCAUCACGAAGCUCUCACAGCUUGGUGGCAGUGACUUUGGAGAACUAUCACUAUCUCAUUUGGAAGAUUAACUCCCACUUGAUUCAAGCGAUUGUCGUACUCAGACAAUCUGAGCACAUGCUCAACGAUUGAGCCUUUUCUCCUGUGCUUUGUGGACAAAGAAUCUUAUCGGAGGUCUCGUACCUCUUAACAAGGGCACAAGCAUGAAAUCACAAUUUCAUCUCUUUAGAACAUAACUUAUGUUCCGUGACGUUUUACAACGUUUUCGGCGCCUUGCUUCUAAGCCAUUAAGUAUUUUGUACUGAACUAUCGUGUAGUCAUCAGAAACGUGUAUGUCGGAUGUUCACAGCAUCCACAGACGACGCUCGAGGUGCAGCACACCGAGUGGUGCAUUAAGGACAUAAGCCUUCUGUGCAGCAACGAGGACAAUCCUCGGUUUUACAGACUCAGUCUGCAAAGUUUGCUACUAUCAACUUUCAACUAAAUUUUCUCUAGGAACAUAUAAAAACAGUAGAGCUAUAGCGCAAUCUACAUCGUAAUUCGCAAAGACCAUUAGACUAUGUUCAUGACAAUUAGUUCAAUUAAUCAUAUUACUUAAGAACUCCCACUCAAAAAGUACAUCUCUCUAGUCAUUUGAGUGGUACAUGAUCCAAAUCCACUAUCUCAAGUCCGAUCAUCACGUGAGUCGAGAAUAGUUUCAGUGGUAAGCAUCUCUAUGCUAAUCAUAUCAACUAUACGAUUCAUGCUCGACCUUUCGGUCUCAUGUGUUCCGAGGCCAUGUCUGCACAUGCUAGGCUCGUCAAGCUUAACCCGAGUGUUCUGCGUGCGCAACUGUUUUGCACCCGUUGUAUGUGAACGUUGAGUCUAUCACACCCGAUCAUCACGUGGUGUCUCGAAACGACGAACUGUAGCAACGGUGCACAGUCGGGGAGAACACAAUUUCGUCUUGAAAUUUUAGUGAGAGAUCACCUCAUAAUGCUACCGUCGUUCUAAGCAAAAUAAGGUGCAUAAAAGGAUUAACAUCACAUGCAAUUCAUAAGUGACAUGAUAUGGCCAUCAUCACGUGCUUCUUGAUCUCCAUCACCAAAGCACCGGCACGAUCUUCUUGUCACCGGCGCCACACCAUGAUCAUCCAUCAACGUGUUGCCAUCGGGGUUGUCGUGCUACUUAUGCUAUUACUACUAAAGCUACAUCCUAGCAAAAUAGUAAACGCAUCUGCAAGCACAUAUGUUAGUAUAAAGACAACCCUAUGGCUCCUGCCGGUUGCCGUACCAUCGACGUGCAAGUCGAUAUUUCUAUUACAACAUGAUCAUCUCAUACAUCCAAUAUAUCACAUCACAUCAUUGGCCAUAUCACAUCACAAUCAUACCCUGCAAAAACAAGUUAGACGUCCUCUAAUUUUGUUGUUGCAUGUUUUACGUGGUGACCAUGGGUAUCUAGUAGGAUCGCAUCUUACUUACGCAAACACCACAACGGAGAUAUAUGAAUUGCUAUUUAACCUCAUCCAAGGACCUCCUCGGUCAAAUCCGAUUCAACUAAAGUUGGAGAAACUGACACUUGCCAGUCAUCUUUGAGCAACGGGGUUACUCGUAGCGAUGAAACCAGUCUCUCGUAAGCGUACGAGUAAUGUCGGUCCAAGCCGAUUCAAUCCAACAAUACCGCGGAAUCAAGAAAAGACUAAGGAGGGCAGCAAAACGCACAUCACCGCCUACAAAAACUUUUGUGUUCUACUCGAGAAGACAUCUACGCAUGAACCUAGCUCAUGAUGCCACUGAUGGGGAACGUCGCAUGGGAAACAAAAAUUUUCCUACGCGCACGAAGCCCUAUCAUGGUGAUGUCCAUCUACGAGAGGGGAUGAGUGAUCUACGUACCCUUGUAGAUCGUACAACAGAAGCGUUAGUGAACGCGGUUGAUGUAGUGGAACGUCCUCACGUCCCUCGAUCCGCCCCGCGAACAAUCCCGCGAUCAGUCCCACGAUCUAGUACCGAACGGACGGCACCUCCGCGUUCAGCACACGUACAGCUCGACGAUGAUCUCGGCCUUCUUGAUCCAGCAAGAGAGACGGAGAGGUAGAAGAGUUCUCCGGCAGCGUGACGGCGCUCCGGAGGUUGGUGAUGACCUUGUCUCAGCAGGGCUCCGCCCGAGCUCCGCAGAAACGCGAUCUAGAGGAAAAACCGUGGAGGUAUGUGGUCGGGCUGCCGUGGAAAAGUCGUCUCAAAUCAGCCCUAAAACCUCCGUAUAUAUAGGUGGGAGGGAGGGGAGGAGGCAGCCUCAAAACCUAAAGGUUUGGCCGAAAUUGGAGGUGGAGGAGUCCUACUCCAAUCCUACUUGGAGUAGGAUUCCACCUUCCCACUUGGAAACUCUUUCCACCUUGUGUUUUUUCCUUCUCAAACCUUAUGGGCCUUAGUGGGAACUUAUUCCAGCCCACUAGGGGCUGGUUUAUCUCUUCCCAUAGCCCAUGAGACCCCUUGGGGCGUGACACCCCUCUCGAUGGUCCCCGGCACCCCUCCCGGCACUCCCGGUACACUACCGAUGAGCCCGAAACUUUUCCGGUAAUGCACGAAAACCUUCCGGUAACCAAAUGAGGUCAUCCUAUAUAUCAUCUUCGUUUCCGGACCAUUCCGGAAACCCUCGUGACGUCCGUGAUCUCAUCCGGGACUCCGAACAACAGUCGGUAACCAACCAUAUAACUCAAAUACGCAUAAAACAUCGUCGAACCUUAAGUGUGCAGACCCUGCGGGUUCGAGAACUAUGUAGACAUGACCCGAGUGACUCCUCGGUCAAUAUCCAAUAGCGGGACCUGGAUGCCCAUAUUGGAUCCUACAUAUUCUACGAAGAUCUUAUCGUUUGAACCUCAGUGCCAAGGAUUCAUAUAAUCCCGUAUGUCAUUCCCUUUGUCCUUCGGUAUGUUACUUGCCCGAGAUUCGAUCGUCAGUAUCCGCAUACCUAUUUCAAUCUCGUUUACCGGCAAGUCUCUUUACUCGUUCCGUAAUACAAGAUCCCGCAACUUACAUUAAGUUACAUUGCUUGCAAGGCUUGUGUGUGAUGUUGUAUUACCGAGUGGGCCCCGAGAUACCUCUCCGUCACACGGAGUGACAAAUCCCAGUCUUUAUUCACGCCAACCCAACAGACCACGAUCAACAUGCUACGUCUAUUAGUUUGGGUCUAGUCCAUCACAUGAUUCUCCUAAUGAUGUGAUCCCCUUAUCAAGUGACAACACUUGCCUAUGGCCAGGAAACCUUGACCAUCUUUGAUCAACGAGCUAGUCAACUAGAGGCUUACUAGGGACAGUGUUUUGUCUAUGUAUCCACACAAGUAUUGUGUUUCCAAUCAAUACAAUUAUAGCAUGGAUAAUAAACGAUUAUCAUGAACUAAGAAAUAUAAUAAUAACUAAUUUAUUAUUGCCUCUAGGGCAUAUUUCCAACACAUGAUAGGUCUUCGUGCGCGUAGGAAUUUUUUUGUUUCCCAUGCGACGUUCCCCAACAUAAAGAUCUCUUGGUUGAUAAUAUUGAUGGACAUUUAUUUAUUUUUGUGAUGAAGCUCCUGGAAUUGCAAAACUUGCUAGAAACGAACAUGAUGUGUUAGAUAAAAAUAAACCAGUUGUUGGCAUGCCUGUUGUUUCCAUUAAGAUUGAAGAUCAUUGUUAUCAUGGCUUAUGUGAUAUGGGUGCUACUGUGAGUGUUAUUCCUUUUACCUUAUACCAAGAAAUUAUGAAUGAUAUAGCACCCUCUUGGAUUGAAGACAUAGAUGUCACUAUUAAACUUGCAAAUAGAGAUACUAUUUUCAUCACUUGGGAUUGUUAGAGAUGUUCAAGUCUUGUGUGGAAAAACUAAGUACCCCACUGAUUUCUUAAUACUUGGUUCACUUCAAGAUAAUUUUUGUCCCAUUAUAUUUGGUAGACCAUUCUUGAAUACCAUUAAUGCUGAAAUUAAUUGUGUUACAUAAAAGGUUGAAGUGAGUUUUGGUGUUGUGUCUCGUGAGUUUAAUUUCUCUAAGUUUGCUAGACAACCACAUGAGAAAGAAUUAUCUAAUAAAGAUGAAAUUAUUGGUAUUGAUUCUAUUGCCGUGCCUCCUACAAAUCCAUUAGAACAAUAUUAGCUAGAACAUGAAAAUGAUAUACAUAUCAAUGAGAGAAAUGAAAUAGAUGAGAUAUUCUUUAAGCAAGCACCUAUCCUCAACUACAAUCUAACUGUUGACAUUCUAGGAGAUCCUCCACCACCUAAGGGAAAUCCGGUGUUUGAUUUAAAAAAAAAUAUCUCACACUUAGAAAUAUGUUUAUCUUGAUGAAAAGAAUGCAUAUCCUGUUUUUAUUAGUGCUAACCUUUCAGAGCAUGAAGAAAAGAGAUUACUUCAAACUCCGAGGAAGCACCGAGCUGCUAUUGGAUAUACACUUGAUGAUCUAGUGCAUUAGUCCCACUCUAUGUUAGCAUAAGAUUAAUAUGGAACCAGAUGCUAAAUAUGUUGGUGAUCAUCAACAUCGGUUGAUCCUAAAAUGAAGGAAGUGGUAAGAACAAAAAUACUAAAGCUUCUGGAGACAUGUAUAAUUUAUCCUAUUGCUGAUACUAUAUGGGUUAACCAUGUCCAUUGUGUUCCUAAGAAAGGAUGUAUAACCGUUAUUCGUAAUUACCAAAAUAAACUUAUCCCACAAAUAAUUGUAAAUGGUUAUAGGAUGGUAAUUGAUUUUAGAAAAUUAAACAAAGAUACUAGAAAAGAUCAUUACCCCUUGACUUUUAUUAAUCAAGUGUUAGAAAGAUUAUGUAAGAACACACACACUUUUGUUUUCUUGAUGGAUACUCUCGUUUCUCUCAAAUACACGUGUUAAAAGAAGAUCAAGAGAAAACUACUUUCACUUGUCCGUUUGGAACUUAUGCUUAUAGGCGUAUGCCUUUUGAUUUAUGUAAUGCACCUGCUACCUUUCAAGGAUGUAUGAAUGAUAUAUUCUCUGAUUUUUGUGAAAAGAUUGUUGAGGUAUUCAUGGAUGAUUUUUCUGUGUAUGGGCCUUCUUUUGAUGAUUUCUUAAGGAACAUUGAUCGAGUUUUGUAGAGAUGUGAAGAAACUAAUCGUGUCUUGAAUUAGGAGAAGUGUCAUUUUCUGAUGAAUGACGGUAUGGUACUUGGGCUUAAAAUUUCUGAAUGAGGUAUUGAGGUAGACAAAUCGAAAGUCCUGAGUUGAAUGAGAGGCCUCCAAUCCUAGCUUAGUGAUAUAGAAAAUAUAACUUCACAUAUGUGGCAAGUAUCAAAAUAUUAUCACAAAGAAGGUCGAUCUAGGAUUUUGCCCAGGGCCGAGGCACCACAACUGUGCAAAACUCAUUUUAAACACAAAUCUAAAAACACUUUUUUGACACACAUGUAAACAUCAUUUUACUCUACCAUCUGAAUUAGAAAAUGCCUCGUCACUUUUUUAUCUACGUCUAUUGAAAAACCACUUUGCAUACUGCGCUCUUCCUCUAGUUAGACAAAACCACAAAAUCCCUUGUGAUAAGACACUUUUGCUACAAAGACGAUCUCCACAUGCGAUCAUUGUGCCUACCUUGAUCUAGCUCGCAUACAUGAUUUCUUCCCAUAUUUCGAUUUUUUCCCAUUGAAGGACCUCUUAGAGAUGCCCCCGCCGGGGGGGGGGGGCCCUNNNNNNNNNNNNNNGGGGGGGGGGGUCCUGUAUGCUUUUAUUGUUGAAAAUAAUAGAACAAAAUCCUCUAGAUGUAUGUGGAUAAAAAUAGGAUGAUGAAAAAAAGGUAUUGCUAUUUCAAGGAGGAUGUAAUAAAAGGUAUUCCUAUUUAUAGCUUUUGAGGAAAGCAGGGAGUUACUUACGAUUCAUUCUCCAUCUCCACCUCGUCAUCUCUUCUACUACGAAGAAAACAACAAACAAUAAAUCAAUCAAAUGGGUUCUCGAUGGAUUCGACCUGAGGUAUGUGAUGAUAAUUUAGAUUAUCUAUUUGCAUAUGCAAAUCAAGCACAUUACUUGUUUUUUUACCAAAAAUCAUACCUAUUUCUGUUGGUUUAUCGAAAUCAUUACUUUCCUUCUUAUAUUUCAUCUGGUGCCUUACGAGCAAUCAAGUAAUUACCCGGUCUACAAUGUCCAAAGAAUUAUACAUGUUUUGUUGAUUGUUGCCUAUAUAUGAUCUGUUCCAUUUAUGUAAAAACUUAUCAAAGAUCAAUCAACACAUGGGAGGAUUAUUUGCUAAGCCAACCAUGAUUUGUUAUUGUGUAUGUCAUUUGUGCCACAUGUAUUAUUCCAUAUGCAUUAAAGACCUCGACAAAUAUUUUGAUUUAGCCAUAGACAUAAACGCACAUGACCAAAAUGUAUGGUAAAUGAAACCUCCAAAAUUCGAUGCUUUUGUUUGUGUUCAUGUUGGCGUAGGAAUCCAUACAGAGUCAUACAACAAAGUCAUGUUGAUUCACACAACAUGCCCUUCAUCAUGUUGAUGUGUGAUUAGUGAUUCAAACAUCCAGGUGUACCCGCUGUUCGCGACGACGGGCGUGGCCGUCGGUAUUUGUGUGAUGCAACUUGUGCGCAAUAUCACGACCAACCCUGAAGUCAGGUACUACAAAAAACUAAACAAAACUUUCAUCCAUGUUCAUCACUCACAUUUCGACACAUCACACUUGAUCAAUUUUUCUACCAUCGCUGAAGAUUUUGUUUGAAGUUGUGUUGUGUGAAACAACUGACAAAUGUACAUGCAGGGUGACAAAGGAGAACAGGGCGGCCGGGGUGCUAGAGAAUCACGAUGAAGGGAAGAGGUACUCCCAGCACGGCGUGCGCAGGUUCUGGCUCUCCAAGCGUCGUGACUACAUGCAGGCACUAGACAACGUGCCCACCGACCCGCCACCCAAGUAGAUCCAAUGACAUAUCGUCCAUGAGAAGACGCCGCUGUGGUUGCUCCAUAUAUCACACAUAUAUGCAUACUACAAGAACAAACAUGCUCCGCCGCGCCUGCUAUAAUCGUGAUUUCCAUUUGUUUACUGUAUCUUUGUAGUCAUGCAUGUACGUUUUUGGGGUUGAAAAGUACCAUUUUGUUUUCUUUGAUAUGAUAUGGUAAUACAUUUUAACAUAUCUAUAGUUUAUUUAUAUGGAUUUUGAUUUUGCUAACCACAUGUUUUCUUACCAAAAACAACCAACUCAUGAUCAAUAAAAGCCUCAUAUAGAAAAUGGCUAACCAACUUUUUUAGAGGCAAACCGAAGCUAAAACCAAAUCUAUCAAAAACUACUCUUACAAAUAGAGCCAAGUGGCUAUUAGUGUCCCAUCAACUUUAUUUUCUCCAUAAUCACCCACCCAUAAAGACUUCGAUCUCCCAACUUUACUCGAUUUGUUACCCCUGUACUCGCAUGAGCAGAAUCAACCUUCCGCCUAGAACAAGAAGAGUGUGGUCGGAGAAAUUUUGGAACGAAGUUUCACAUCGCUGCUGUCAAAGUUCUCGUCGCCAAUUCAUUUUAUGGAUCCAAACUGGGAAAUAUUAAAUCCAUUAUCCACGUUCAUUCCUUUCUUUCCCGUCACCGAUUCAUUUGUUUUCAGAGGAAGUAUGUAUGAGUGAAACUUCAUGCGCAGAGUUCACAUUUUUGUAUUGGCCAACAAGAUAUUUUUUACAUCUUUAUGCACUCCUCCUAUACAAGCCAGUUUAUUAAAUUUUGUUGAGUGUUUGAAACAUCAUUUCUCGUUUGUAUUUCUUCUGCAAAUAAAGAGGAUGAUACCCCGCAAAAAAUAAAAACAAAAAGUUAAAUAAGGAGAAUGAUGGAGCAGUAAAUUAUGUGGCGAACUCUUGGUUUCUUUGGCAGUUUUUAUUAUUUUCGACAACAUAACUUCACUUUGUCACCUGCNNNNNNNNNNNNNNNNNNNNNNNNNNNNNNNNNNNNNNNNNNNNNNNNNNNNNNNNNNNNNNNNNNNNNNNNNNNNNNNNNNNNNNNNNNNNNNNNNNNNNNNNNNNNNNNNNNNNNNNNNNNNNNNNNNNNNNNNNNNNNNNNNNNNNNNNNNNNNNNNNNNNNNNNNNNNNNNNNNNNNNNNUGGCUCGUCGAGGACGACAUCCUCCUCAAGAACGCCGUCGAGGUAGGUAACCGACGCCCCCGUAGCCCCGGAUCGCGGCCGCAGUCGCACAAUAGCUCCCCGUGUCGACGCGUCGGUUGGGUCGGCCUCGAUUGAGGCGUCCAAUUGCUGUCCCUGGGCGGCUCCCGCCCGCCGGAGCGCCACGGAGCCAGAGGGGGCUCUGCCCGCUAGUCAGAAUGCUUAGUCCCACCCCGCCCUUGCAAGAUUCUUGCGCCCGUGAUUCUCGUUAUCCGCGUACUUGCGAAAUUCCUGGACCCCCUUGCUGUUUACAGCAAAUGUUCGUUGUUUUCUUUGCGUUUCAGUUACACAGGGGUGGUGCUCUGCCAGUCUGCACUGCACAUUGCUUGGUAAAUUCUACGGCAUUGCUGUUUUUUACAGCCAAUGCUAUUGAUUUCAUUUUGGGUUAGAAGGAAGGGUGGUGCUCUGCAGCACAUAGGAGUUAACUGACAGCAUGAUGUAAUCAGCAAUUGUUGCCGCGUGUGGUUGGCUCGGAACAGUUUCUAUUGUGCGUCUUUUGGUCCCGCGACAAUCUUCUUUUAACCUUCGAGUCUGUAAUGUUACAAGUUGUUAAACUUCUGUAAAAAAAUCAUUGCUAAUUAAAUUUAUCCAGGACACGCUAUAUUUUAUUUGCACAUGUCAGCUUAUUGGCCGUGUAACAAUCAAAUAUGUUUGUGUAAAAAAAGAUGGCGUGAAGAGUUAGGCCUAAUGAGUGCUUUUUUUGGUACCAGUGAACAAAAAUGAGAAAAACUGCUCUGGCAACUGCGUAUGAAAUUCUGAAAUCUGAAUUUAUGACCACUCCCCUGUUUAUUACUAAUUGAGAAAAUAAUAAUUUUGAUACCUGUAGACUGGUGCUUCUUUGGAGUCCUUGGCGAAAGGAGCUGUAUGUUUUUCCCGUAAAUUCACCCUUCAAGAAAUACAAGAUCGUUGGACUUCAUUGCUAUAUGACCCAGAGAUCUCAGCACAAGCUUCUGCUCGGAUGGUUGAGUAUGAGGCUGAACUUUCCACUUCCAACCCUGCCAAGCUACAUAAACUUGUCAACUCAAAGGCAAAAGAUUUCUCAUUUCAGAAGCGGAAAAUAGAGAGUGUCAAGAAUUUAUACUAUGCGAUGAGAAAGAGAGUAUGCAAUGAACCCUGUAACACCAACGACCUUGGUUUUCUCAUUGCCCCUUGUUCUUGCAUGGCGAUUGGCGGGGAGUGUGUCUGCGGAGGCGUACCUAAACCUUCACAUGAUCAGCAUGUAGUUCAAAGUAUUGAACCAGGGAUGAGUACAGUGAGCUGUUAUGCGCAAGCAGGUGGAAGCUACAGUGGUGUACAACAGACACAUCCUGAAAUAAAUGGUCAUUCUUUCCAUGCACAGCAUCCUGGGAGCAUGAUAAACGAUGAGGAUGCCACCAAUAAUGCACCAUAUGUCUAUUCAGACGUUCAAAUAUAUGACGCCUACGCACAAAAAGUUCCUGAGCCAAGUGAAGUGAACAAUGUCUCUCUUAGAGGUAUUACAGAUUUUCAGGAUUCUAUGCAGUUUCAGCAAUUGGCAUCUAGCAACCAAUGCGGCAAUGAAGUAGCAGAAUCAAAAGAAAUGUUGAUUACUGAUCAAGUUGGAGUUGAACACGUCCAUUUCCCUGCUAAUAACAGUGGAGAAGCAAUCUGGAACGGGGUUGAUGAAACAGACACACUCACUCUUGCUGAUGGUAAGAAAAUAAAGACAGCCAACAGAGACCCUCUAGCAUUGCAAGCAGAUGGUGGGAUUUGCAUGCCUGGUUUAGAUGAUGCAGCAAUGCCAGAAGGUGAUUACAUGGAUUUUCCCUUUUUCAGUAACAGUGAUGAGUUUGAUCUCCUGAACGGCGAAGAUUUUCUGAAUUCUCCACAUGAUACGAAUCAGGAAGACUUGGAUGAUCCUGAUCCGAAAGGUGUACUGGGUGCGGACUCCGUCAUGCAGAAUAUGUUGCACCCCGAUGAGUCCAACAUUUGCUAUGAUCAGGUAGAUUCUGGCCAUGUACAUCAUAACGUUGAGGGUGUUUCUGAAAUGAUCCUGGCCCCUACUUCACCUGAAGUGUGUUAUCCGGGCCAGCAUGUGGAAUGCAUGUUAAAUACGGAAGAUCCUGAAAUCCCUUGCAAUGACGAUGCUAGUACACAUGGCGAGUUUUCUCCCCUUCGCACUACUGCUUCUUUUGCGCGGAACUCUGAGCCUCCAUUCCCCCCUACAACUAGCUCUCCAUUAAAGGCUGAGCAUUCCAAUGCGAGUGAUUUGGUCCAAAUAAAGAGAGGAGAUAUGGCAAAUGCCCAAUCGCCAUCACAACCAAUGAAGGUUAGCCCAUCCACUUCAGCACAAAAAGAAAGUUCAGUGGCACUUAAAAAAGGUUGCAUCCUAGGAGCUAUGCCCUCUGAAGGUCCUUCAACUUCCAGUGCACUUGUGCAUGGUAAUAUUGACACGAAUGAUGAGAGCACAUGCAUGCUAGCUUUACCUGCUAUUCACCCAUCUGGAUUUGGUGAAGGACCAUCGUGCAGUUUAGGACAGCAGGAUUUAUUUGAUAACUCCCAAAGCUUGAUGUUGUACAAUCCUGUUCAAGUGCCUGAUCACAUGAAUUACAACUCACAUGAUAAUCAAUCAGAAUUGCAAGGUGCCUCUGCUCUACAGAACUGUAUGCCAUCACAUGCAUUGUCAGAUUUGGGUCUUCAAGACCCUAUUGCGUCCGCGCCGGCAUCAGCUCUACCAGAAGAAUGCUUGGACAUUGAAAAUGAUAUUCCAAACUACUACGAUUUAGAAGCCCUGGUAUGUAUCUGUUAACUUAGAUAAUAGAGCCUUUCAGUGUGUUACUUCUGAUUCAUCCUUUUUCGAUUCAUUGCAGAUACUUGAUCAGGAUCUAAUUCCAUGGGACCAGGCUGAUUCAUCUCACCCUGCAGGUAAAUACAAACCAUCUAUCAAAUUAUUCUGAAUGUGGUUAAGGAUAUGCUACAUUAAUAUAUGCAAGUUUGUAUCGAGAUGGAUUCCCUCCGUCCCAAAAUUCUUGUCUGAUAUGAAUUUUAGUAUUUUGAUACAUACAUUUCUAGACAAACCUAAGACAAGAAUUUUGGGAUGGAGGGAGUACAUCUUAAGGCUAGCAUGAGUAACAUUAUGAUGACAGAGCUGUCCCGAAAAAUGUAUUGUGCUAAACUAUGAGUCCUAUUGCGCUGAAAUAAUGGUCCCAUUGUUGCAAACUUGCAAUAGCACUUCACUAUCAGUGCCUAUAGUCACUAAAAAUGGCGAGUCUGUUAUUACUUAUUAGACCUCUGGGAGCUGGCCUGCUGGCCUCUCCUUGUAUUUCUUUCCUUAAUGAAAUGACACACAGCUCUUCUGCGUUGUUUGAGAAAGAAAAGGAAUUGAUUGAGUUUAAUCGUCAACUAUUUUAUUUUUCUGGUACUUUGGACCUUGUAUAUUACUCCCUCCGUCCAGAAUUAUUUGUCACCAAAAUGAAAAGAAAUGAAUGUAUCUAGAACUAAAAUAUGUCUAGAUACAUCCAUUCCUAUGACAAGUAAUUCCAGACGGAGGGAUUGUUAGCUAUAGUUAGGCAUUUGCGUACCAUGUACAGGAGAAAAAAUAGUCUACUUAUCAUUAUCUAUGUAUUUGUAUGGUCAGUUUCCAGAUUUGAUCAUCCAGAGAACAGGAAAUCAUUGAUAAGGUUGGAGCAGGGUGCUCGGUCUUAUGUGAACCGAGGUAUCAUGUCUCGAGGUGCCUUUGCAGUUAUCUAUGGAUUGCACUUGAAGUACUACAUAAAGGACCCUGAGGUAAAUCCAACUGAUGUUUUUCAGCUAAUAUGGUCUAUCACAUAUAACGAGAUACAGCUUAACUUCUCCAAAGUACAAAGAACUUUUGUUCAUACAUCUGUGCUGAACAGUUGCAUAGUUUAAAUUUCGUGGUGUUAAUAUUCGCACAUGGAAACAGUUCAUAUGUUUGGUUAUUUCUGAACCGCACACUUGCUACUGACUUGAAGUUUGAAAACUCAUCUAUAUUGUUUUUGUCUCGUAAUCGAAUGCUUAUGGAAUUCUUCAUUUCUUCUAAUCCAAUCUUUAAGUCAAAAGAUAUGACCAGGCUGGUUAUUGUGUGGCUCACUUUGAUCAUUUUUUUGGUACAUUGUCUUCUUUAACUUGUAUGGAAUACAUGAUAUUUUCACAUUUGUGCAAUAUCUGGCACCAUUUCUGACUUUUAGUUGCAUUUCUCUCUUCUUUUCUCAGGUUAUUCUGGGAAGAGAGACAGAAGAUGUAAAAGUAGACAUAGAUUUGGCAAAAGAAGGGCGGGCGAACAAAAUAUCUCGCCGACAGGUAUUUGCUUGAAUAUGUUUUUCAAGUUAGUGAAUUUUAAUAACAGUUUAGGAAAUAGCUGAUGCCUAAAAAAUGAUGAAAAACAUCUAUAUUCUGUAGAGGCUUGUUUUUUGUUUAGUUGGUUCUUCUGUUUGAGGUUAGGUCCUGAAGGAAAUGUAUUUUUAGCUCAUCUGCUGGUCUUGGUGUAAUGGGUGGCCACAGAAGGUCUACUCUGCCCUGACCCUGACAGCAGUAAAAAGCUGUUUGUCAUGCAUUGUCCGUAGAUAUUUCAACGUGCAGGCACAUGUUUUGUUUGAGCCAGUGGAGUUGUCGACUUUGUUUAGUUGGCAAUAUUAGGGACUGGAGAAGUCUGGUGGGGGAUGAAUUAUGUUUAUCUAGGUCUCUUUUUUCACUCUAGGGUUGGCUUGCAUAUUUAUCUCAAUGAUUUGUAUCAUGCCUUUGUGUUAUUAGUUGAGAAACUGUUAGUCUUAACACUAUGCAUUCUUGACUUGUUAUGGAUAGUUUUAAAAACAUCUCCAGCUAUUGAUGUUGACCACACUUGUGUUAUAGAAUUGCGACUUUGUGGCAUUCUAUGACUGUGUCUAUCUUGUAUUUUGUACACCGUCUGACCAUGCCAUGCUCCUGAAAUAGUUUACUGUUUUAAGUAAUUAACAGCAGGCAUCUCUGGUUACAUCUGACCCCCAGUGGUUGCAUCCACUAACCCCAUUCAUAUGUUCUCCUUUAAGUUGCGAGUUAGGGUAUCAGGCUGGUGAGCUGCCCUAAAUAGUGGAGACUGUUAUGUUUUGCUAAAUUCGUUUUAUAUUCUGAAAAUCAGGCGGUUAUCAAGAUGGAUAAAAAUGGGUCUUUCCAUAUCAAGAACAUUGGGAAAUGCUCAAUCUUUGUUAAUAGCAAGGAAGUGCCAAGCUGCAAAGGGAUCAACUUAAGUUCUGAUUCUUUAAUCGAGGUACACAGACAUCUCCUAUUUCAUUUUCCUGAUUUAAGUCUAGCCUCUCCAUUUACGGUUUGUUUGUAACUUGGUGAGAAAGCUAUUAUCCUUGUAGUAAAUAUUCAUGUCCUCUUUUUGUCUGGAUUCUGAUACAACUGCAUUAAAUGCUCCAGGUCUAUGCUAUUUCACAGUAGAAUAUUUGCCAAAUGUCUGCAGUAAUGCUAACAAACUGUAUUACCCAUUUACGUACUACAUUUGGAUUUUUUGAUCAACCACUUGGAUAAACUUAUGUGCCUGUGCCUGGAAUUUGGACGGGUAGUUUCAGUGAAUUUGUGUCAAAUAAAUACUUGGACAUUGAUGUAAUUACCAAGAGAAGUAGAGAUUUAACUAAAAUCUCUACUGAAGCAUGUGCUAUUCAAUGUUAACUUAUCCUGGAGACCUGGUGUUUGCCAGUGAAAUACUCCCUCCGUACCUAAAUACAAGUCUUUUUAGAAAUGCCACUACGGAUUACAUAUGGAGCAAAAUGAGUGAAUCUACACUCUAAAGUAUGUCUACAUACAUCCGUAUGUAGUUACUAGUGGAAUCUCUAAAAAGACUUAUAUUUAGGAACGGAGGGAGUACUUAUCAUUAUCUUAAAGAAAAGAAAAGUUUCAUCAUUCUGAGAAGGAUUUUUAUUCUAGAUGGACCAUUCUUGCCUUAUGCAAGGUCACACUAUAUAUCAAAUUUUUAUUGAACUUUCUUGAGUGCACAUCAGUGCCAGAAUAAUGGAAUGGGAGUGUAUGUAUGAAGAGUUGAAGACCAGACCAAAGUGUAAAACACAAAAUAACAGGAUUAAUUAUAUUUAGAAUUUUUUAUGAUAAAAGCGUAGAAACAUCUUACAUGUAUGGGUUCCUUUUCAACUUCUAAUGGGAAUUAAACUUGUACUCCCUCCGUUCCAAAAUAUAAGACCUUUUAGGAAUUCCACUAGGAGACUACAUACGGAGCAAAAUGAGUGAAUCUAUACUCUAAAAUAUGUCUAUGUACAUCCGUAUGUAGCUUAUAGUGCAAUCUCUAAAAGGUCUUAUAUUUAGGAACGGAGGGAGUAUUACUUAUUUAGACUAGCCAUUUACUCUUUUGUCAAGGAGUGUGCUAACCAAGUGUUGGGUACAUGGGUGCAUGAGCUUUGUGAAGCAUGUGAAAGAUGAGGAUGGGUACACGGUGUCUGGUUGACUUUUCUGGUCGACUUAAAUAACUUUGUUAAUUUUCUGCCCAUGUUUUCUUUUGCUACGAUGUCUGUUGGUUGUUUUAUAAGCCGACCGAUGUGGCUUAUACUACAGUGCCUUAGCACUCACCACUGGCCUUUUUGAAAUGCUGAAACCUGAAUGCUAAUAUCGGUUGCCACUAACUAUCCAGCUGGCUACUAAAAUACUCCCUCCGUCUCAAAAUUCUUGUCUUAGUUUUAUCUAGAAAUGGAUGUAUCUAAAUACUAAUACAUGACUAGAUACAUUCAUAUUUAGACAAAUCAAAGACAAGAAUUUUGGGACGGGAGGGAGUACUGAAGGAAAACAUAGUCAACAAAGAUCUACUGCUCACUCUUUUUUUUUAUGCAUUAGGAAGCUAUGACUAAUAAUUUACACAUGAAUAGUUUCAUUUACAAAUGUACUAGUGUACCUGCCAUUCCUUUGCCAUUCUGUUGUUCUGUAAUUACGCCAGCCAUCAUGAUUAGUAGUUGAAAUAACAGUUACUCGUCGAUGAGGUGCUUGCCAUUCUUUUGUUCUGUAGUUAGACACCCAUCAUUCUUUUGUUCUGUAGUUAGACACCCAUCGUGAUCAUAUUAUUUAAAACAACCUGCAAAGUGAAAGGGAUGAUUUGGUAUCAUGUACUCCAUCCGUUCCUAAAUAUAAGUCUUUUUUAGAGAUUUGAUUAAAGGACUACAUACGGAUGUAUAUAGACAUAUUUUAGAGUGUAGAUUCAUUUAUUCUGCUCCGUAUGUGGUCCCAUAAUGAAAUAUCUAAAAAGACUUAUAUUUAGGAAUGNNNNNNNNNNNNNNNNNNNNGAAUGCCGGGAGUAGAUCUAACAGUUGCUCGUGGAUGAGGGGAUUGCAGCUGCUAGUACUUGCCUAGUAUAGCACUCCCUCCGUCCCAUAAUAUAAAAGCGUUUUUAACGCUCUUACAAGUAUUAUGGAACGGAGGGAGUAUUUCUCAACCAUGACGCUGGUCUCAUUUAGCUGUUGUCGAUUUCCCCUGCAGAUAAAGGAGAUGAGGCUGAUCUUCCACUCGAAUCAGGAUGCUGUAAGGCAGUACAUUGCCCGCACCGCGAAGCUCCAAUACUCGUACCAGCCGGGUUUCUGAGCUUCGCUCCAAUACUCGUACCAGCCAGGUUUCUGAGCCCGCUUGCCAAGGUUGCCCGAUGAGCGGCGCGUCUGCGUUGCUGCCAGUAGUUAGCGCGUCAGGUGUUCCAGGGCGUUCACGUUUUAGAUGAGAGUGUGAUUAUUACUAUUAUCUCGGUAGAUGUUCUCGGCCACUUGGGAUGCGUGUAUAUACAUACACGGCAACAUGUGGUAUAACAUGUCGACUGGUUUAAUCUAUUGAUGAAGCACAAACUAGUUGAGACAGUGUAGCAAGUGGUGGCGAUUUACCUUGCCUUUUUUUAUUUUCCGUUGGUAGGCUGUGGCUUGUGCCAUCAGUAGGAAGGAGGAAGAUGGGCGUUGUAGCAGCAUGUCAAGUGCGGGCGGAAUAAACGGAGGGACGCGAAGGGAGAUUCCGUGGGAGGGCACCUCCGGGAGAAACCAUUGGGCCUAAUGAAAGGCAGAAUCAUCACCACCUCCUCAGCCACGCACCACAGUGGUUUUACACGGCAGCCUUUUUUUUCUCCUUGGAAUGAAAAGCGAGCGGGCGCCUUUCCUUCCUUACUGGGUUUCUUUACUUGGCAGAGCGAGUGUGAGUGUGAAACCAUAUUAGGAUUGGGAAAGAAAUUUGGUGUGCACGGCACGGAGAUGUUGCUGGGAACUUUUCUAGGGGUGCUUUUUAACCUUCUUUUGGGGUUUAGGCAGGUGAAGCGCAGGGGAUUGGUGCACUUGUUCCGUUGGCACUUGGCACAUCACCUAGAACCAUGUAGCUCAACCAACACACCCACGGACCACCCACCCCAUGGUGCGUUUGCGUCGACAGAAAACACCAAGCCACGGCCGCGGUCCGACGUCGACUCACUCAACCAAUGCCGAUCGGAACCUUGGACGCCUUUUCCAUUUGGCGGGCAACGAGCCAGCUUCAGCAUGAAGAAGCAGCAUUCUCUGUCUCCGCCCCCUCGCCCUCGCGUUGAGGGUGAAUCAGCCGAUCUCAGUAUCUAUAUAUUCUUGAUGAGACGCCGGUGGCCGCCAUAGCUCGCCAGCUCUUCGUCUUAUCUUUGGAGGGGCGAUAUAUGUGGAUCCACAAGCCUUUUAUUUACAUUUAUUUAUUAUAUAUAAACACAAGAUUUUUUAUAUGCGUGUAUCCCAGCUUACUUUGUAACAACAUAUUUUUUUUCAAACACACGAUACGAUCAAAGUCGUUCAUAUACACCAGCAACAACCAUAGACCUUUAGUUGUAGUAGUAGUAGUGAUAAUUCCUUUAAGAAUGCAUUGGUCACCCGUGAGGCCGUGACGCAGCAGCAGCAAUAGUAAUAACGCAUCAAAAGUUUCCAUCAAUAGAAAAAAAAGCAGUGAAGAACGCAUCCGGCAACGAGACUUUCGGCGUUUCUAUCUGUUUGAAGAAAGUAAGAUUCUUGCAUUUUAUACAAUGGGAGGAGACGCAAUCAUCCAAGGAUGUGUCGGUUCCAGGAGAGAAAAGAGAGAGAACCGUCGUUGCGGGAGGAACCGCUUGACGGUUGGUCAAGGGGAGAUUUUCCCCUAAUUACAUAAUUAGUUUUAACACUCCCCCUAAUCUAUACUUGACCAUGUGGAGUUAUCUUCAUGAUUGUCCGGGAAGCUUUAUCAUCUCAAAAACUCUUCUUCAAAAGUUCUUCAUAAAGACUUUGAUGAGAACCUGAAAUGUAAACUCACAAAGAGAUAGCAUAAUAUGAUGUUAUUUGAACAAGGAUAUCUCAAGAAGAAACUCCCCCUGUUGCCUGCAAGUCUCUAAGUCGUCGCAUACCAAUUCCAUGAACAUAUUUCUGGAAUGUUGAGUUUGGUAGAGACUUAGUAAACAAAUCAGCAAGGUUGUCACAUGAUUUGACUUGCAGAAUGCUUAUUUCCCCGCUUUUCUGAAGAUUGUGGGGGAAAAACCAUUUAGGAGAAAUAUGCUUAGUGAUAUUGCUCUUGAUAUAUCCUAUCUGCAUCUGUGCAACACAUGCCGCAUUAUCCUCAUAGAUAAUGGUUGGUGAUCCAAUAGAACCAAUUCCACAUGACUGUUGUAUGUGGUUUAUCAUUUUGCGAAGCCAUACACAUUCACAUGACGCUUCAAAUAAUGAAAUUAUUUCAGAAUGAUUGGUAGUUGUAGCCACUAGAGUCUCUUUGGAAGACUUCCAUGAUAUAGCUGUACCACCAUGUAGGAACACAAAACCGGUCUGAGAUCUGGCAUUAUGGGGAUCAGACAAAUAACCGGCAUCUGCAUACCCAAUCAUAUCAGAGUCCAGAUUUUGCUGGAACUGAAAAAAUAGGCCAAGAUCCUUUGUGCCUUGGAGAUAUCGAAAGAUAUUCUUCACUCCAGACCAAUGACGUUUGGUGGGAGCUGCGCUGUGUCUAGCAAGUAGAUUCACUGCAAAUGCAAUAUCAGGUCUUGUGCAAUUUGCAAGAUACAUAAGCGCUCUAACAGCACUGAGAUAUGGAACUUCAGGUCCCAACACCUCUUCUCCAUCAUCCCUCGGUCUGAACGGAUCUUUCUCUACGUCUAGAGAUCGAACCACCAUAGGAGUUUUAGAUGGAUAGGAUUUGUCCAUAUUGAAUUUCUCCAAUAUUUUCUGAAUAUAGGCAGCUUGGUGUACCAUGAUUCCUGAGGGAAGGUGCUCAAGUUGAAUACCUACGCAAAAUUUGGUUUUACCCAAAUCCUUCAUCUCAAAUUCCAUCUUUAGGUGAUUGCGUGCUUCAUCAAUGUCUGGUGCACUCCCGAUGUGUUGGAAUUAUGCCCUAGAGGCAAUAAUAAAUGUAUAGUUAUUAUUAUAAUUCCUGUAUCAAGAUAAUAGUUUAUUAUCCAUGCUAUAAUUGUAUUGAAUGAAGACUCAUUUACAUGUGUGGAUACAUAGACAGAACACCGUCCCUAGCAUGCCUCUAGUUGGCUAGCCAGUUGAUCGAUGAUAGUCAGUGUCUUCUGAUUAUGAACAAGGUGUUGUUGCUUGAUAACUGGAUCACGUCAUUAGGAGAAUCACGUGAUGGACUAGACCCAAACUAAUAGACGUAGCAUGUUGAUCGUGUCAUUUUGUUGCUACUGUUUUCUGCGUGUCAAGUAUUUAUUCCUAUGACCAUGAGAUCAUAUAACUCACUGACACCGGAGGAAUGCUUUGUGUGUAUCAAACGUCGCAAUGUAACUGGGUGACUAUAAAGAUGCUCUACAGGUAUCUCCGAAGGUGUUGGUUGAGUUAGUAUGGAUCAAGACUGGGAUUUGUCACUCCGUGUGACGGAGAGGUAUCUCGGGGCCCACUCGGUAAUACAACAUCACACACAAGCCUUGCAAGCAAUGUAACUUAGUGUAAGUUGCGGGAUCUUGUAUUACGGAACGAGUAAAGAGACUUGCCGGUAAACGAGAUUGAAAUAGGUAUACGGAUACUGACGAUCGAAUCUCGGGCAAGUAACAUACCGAAGGACAAAGGGAAUGACAUACGGGAUUAUACGAAUCCUUGGCACUGAGGUUCAAACGAUAAAGAUCUUCGUAGAAUAUGUAGGAUCCAAUAUGGGCAUCCAGGUCCCGCUAUUGGAUAUUGACCGAGGAGUCUCUCGGGUCAUGUCUACAUAGUUCUCGAACCCGCAGGGUCUGCACACUUAAGGUUCGACGUUGUUUUAUGCGUAUUUGAGUUAUAUGGUUGGUUACCGAAUGUUGUUCGGAGUCCCGGAUGAGAUCACGGACGUCACGAGGGUUUCCGGAAUGGUCCGAAAACGAAGAUUGAUAUAUAGGAUGACCUCAUUUGAUUACCGGAAGGUUUUCGGAGUUACCGGGAAUGUACCGGGAAUGACGAAUGGGUUCCGGGAGUUCACCGGAGGGGGGCAACCCACUCCGGGGAAGCCCAUAGGCUUUUGGGGGACACACCAGCCCUUAGUGGGCUGGUGGGACAGCCCCAAGGGAGCCUAUGCGCCAAGAUAAGAAUAUCAAAGGAAAAGAAAAAAAAAGGGAAGAAGUGGGAAGGGAGGGGGACUCCUCCCACCAAACCAAGUCCAACUCGGUUUGGGGGGGGAGUCCUCCCCCCCUUGGCUCGGCCGACCCCUUGGGGAUCCCUUGGACCCCAAGGCAAGGUCCCCCUCCCUCCUCCUAUAUAUAUGGGGCUUUUAGGGCAGAUUUGAGACGACUUUCUCACGGCUGCCCGACCACAUAUCUCCAUAGUUUUUCCUCUAGAUCGUGUUUCUGCGGAGCUCGAGCGGAGCCCUGCUGAGACAAGAUCACCACCAACCUCCGGAGCGCCGUCACGCUGCCGGAGAACUCUUCUACCUCUCCGUCUCUCUUGCUGGAUCAAGAAGGCCGAGAUCAUCGUCGAGCUGUACGUGUGCUGAACGCGGAGGUGUCGUCCGUUCGGUACUAGAUCGUGGGACUGAUCGCGGGAUUGUUCGCGGGGCGGAUCGAGGGACGUGAGGACGUUCCACUACAUCAACCGCGUUCUCUAACGCUUCUGCUGUACGAUCUACAAGGGUACGUAGAUCACUCAUCCCCUCUCGUAGCUGGACAUCACCAUGAUAGGUCUGCGUGCGCGUAGGAAAAUUUUUGUUUCCCAUGCGACGUUCCCCAACACGAUGAUGUUGAGAUCAUCAACGUACACAGAGAUGAUGCAAAAUCCUGUAGAGGACUUCUUGAUGAAGACACAUUGGCAAUCAUCACUAUUGGUGUAACCUUUCUGAAGAAGGAACUCACUUAGUCGGUUGUACCACAUCCGUCCCGACUGUUUUAAGCCAUACAAUGACUUAUUCAGCUUUACACAAUACAUGUUGCGUUUUGCACUGUUAUUCGGGACGGAGAUUCCGUCAGGAACCUUCAUAUAUAUGUCUGAAUCUAGUGACCCGUAAAGAUAUGCGGUCACGACGUCCAUCAGCUGCAUGGAUAGACGAUUUUGCACUACCAUAGAUAUAAGAUAUCGGAAAGUGGUUCCACUCAUUACUGGAGAGUAUGUUUCAUUGAAAUCAAUGCCGGGUUUCUGCGUAAAACCUUGUGCUACGAGCCUUGCUUUAUAUCUCACCACCUCAUUGUUCUCAUUCCGUUUCCGGAGGAAAACCCAUUUGAAUCACACGGGGAAAACAUUGGGAGGUGUAGGUAUUGCUUCAGUGAAUACCUUCCUUUUGUUAAGCGAGGCAAUUUCUGCUUGGAUUGCAUCCUUCCAUUUAGGCCAGUCGGAGCGCCUUUGGCACUCGACGAUAGACCUUGGAUCAUGAUCAGUGAUAAGGGUAUCUGCAAUCUUUUCAGCAAAAUAUAUGUCGACAGUCGUAGUCUUGCGGUCAAAUGAUUCUCCAGAAUCAACAUAGUUGAUAGAAAUUUCCUGCACCCCUAGAGACUCUUUGUGAUUUCCCAAUAUGGUUGAGUCUGGGUGUUCCGAUGUUCCAACCAGUUUGUGCACACUGGAGCUGGGUUGUGGAGGUUGUCCUUCCACUGGGUGUGAACUACCCAUCAGGUGUUUGUCAACGUUGAGUUGACCUCUAUUUACUGGCUCUGAGGAUUUUUUCCUCGAUUUCCUUUGCUGCUUGCUAGAAGCUAGCUCCAGGUCAGAGGCCAUACUACCCCCCUCUUUUUAGGAACAUGGAAUUGAGUGGUUUUUAUUGGUCCACUCUUUCUGGUGCGUUUCUGGCCGGAUUUAAGGAAAUGAAUCUGGCAGAUUAUUUGCAAGAUAUUGCAAAUUAAUGAUCUUCCGAACUUGAAGUUCGGUCUCGUGGGUACGUGGAUCAGAGGAUGAAAUGGAAUGAGCAUUCCAAUCAAUUUCCGGGCAUUCUUUCNNNNNNNNNNNNNNNNNNNNNNNNNNNNNNNNNCCUAACAUAGAUAAGUCUAAAACAGGACUAAAAUGUAAAUAGUUGUCAAACUAAGUACUAAACAGUACUAAACAUAGUCUAAAAAUGCACAAAUACAAUAAUUAGUACUAAUGUUAAGAAAACAGAGAAAAGAAAAAAAAACAGUUUGGCCGACCCAUGGAGCCGCUGCACCUCACAGGGGAGUUAGCAGCCGCCUCGGGCGCCUGGGCCUGGGCCUGCCCGGCCUUUGGCCGGCCCACUCGCCACCGCACCGCAUAAGGGACAGGGGGAGAGGAUGGAUCGGAUAAGGGGCAGUGUAUCUGACCCCUCCGCGCCACCUCUGCUCGAUCCCCACUGCGACACAGCGGCGCCGGCGGGGAGGAGUGGCCGCCGCAUCCCCUUGCUACUCUGGUGGUCACCGACGCAGCCCCGCCGAGCUCUCAUCGUCCGAAGAAGAUCCGAUGAAGAUGGCGUCCGGGCGCGCAACCUCUGGCGCGGCGCUGGCGAAUCCGAGGCUUGCCGGGGUCCAUGAGCCGGCGCGGCGGCCGGGACGGCGGUCGAUGGCGGCGACGGCGCGCCCGAAGAGUCGGCCGAAACGCCUCUCCGCGCGGCUGCUCGAGCCCGCGGUCGCUCCCAGCGGUGGCGCGGCCUCCUCAUCCACCAAGACCCGCAUCGGGACGGGCGCAUAGCCAGGGGGGCACUGCUUGGGCCAACUCCUUCGCCGACGGGAGUUGGCGUCGAGGGCGCAAGCCACGCGACCGGUGGAGGAGGGGGUGGAGGAGGGGACCCGGGAGGGGGUGCUGCAGCGGCGUCGUGCACCAUGGGGGCGCUCGGGCCUGCCACAAGCCAUGGGUCAAGCCCCCCGUUCACCGACGGCGCACGUGAAGCGGCGCUGAAACCAUGUCCGUGGGCGCGGCGAGCACCAGGAGCGGCGCAUCCGUCGACGCCGUGGCCGUGUCCAGCGACGCGGUGACCACCACGGGCGAAGCCAUGGGCGCGGCGAGCACCAGGAGCGGCGUAUCCGUCGACGCCGUGGCCGCAUCCAGCGACGCGGUGACCACCACGGGCGAAGCCGUGGGCGCGGCGAGCACCAGGAGCGGCGUAUCCGUCGACGCCGUGGCCGCGUCCAGCGGCGCGGUGACCACCACGGGCGAUGCGGCGGACGGCCUGCAUCCUGCGAUGGAAGCGCCGGAGUCCGGCAACACCAUGACCGCGACGACGGUAGCGACGGCCAUCCGCGCGAAUCAGGCGGAGAAAGAAAGAAACAAGGCCAGGCAUCUCACCGGCAAGUUUCGAUCUCUUCUUCUCUCUGUGUUCUUCCGCUCGUGGGUUGAGUUCUACAUGCUGAUAACAUGUUUGAAGAAAGUAAGAUUCUUGAUUCAAUGAUGACAGGGAUCUGCCAUUUUAUACAAUGGGAGGAGACGCGAUCAUCCAAGGGAUGUGUCGGUUCCAGGAGAGAAAAGAGAGAGAACCGUCGUUGCGGGAGGAACCGCUUGACGGUUGGUCAAGGAAAGAUUUUCCCCUAAUUACAUAAUUAGUUUUAACACUAUCUAGCCACGCUCUAGGAGCUAGAGUGGUACUGCUAGUGGGUGGUGGCUAGCAAGUCGGCAGUGCGGCGACUCACAAGGAAGCCUGGACGGCACGCACCCUACCCUCCCCCGCCCGCAGCUAUAAUUGCUUCCCCCUGCGGUUGCUUCGGUUCAGUUGAGCGCUCGCGACGACGAGACAGACAAAAACAAAAAAAACAUGGGCUCCUUCCUGUCGUCGCUCUUCACCCCACCCCCGCUCCCCGGCGACGACCCGGACUCCGCCGUCGUCGCCGUCCACUCCAAGCCCGCCUGGGACCAGCACUGGGAGGCGCACCGGAACGCAUCCAAGCUGGUCCGUCGCCUUCCUCUCGACUCUCGAGUAGUAGUAGUAAAUAGUAAUCCCCGCGCUCCUCCGGAUCUGACGGACCCUGCUGAUCUCUGCCAUGCGCUUGCUCCCACAGAUGGUGAUCGACUUCUCCGCCUCCUGGUGCGGGCCCUGCCGCUUCAUCGAGCCCGCCUUCAAGGAGAUGGCCUCCCGCUUCGCCGACGCCCUCUUCGUCAAGAUCGACGUCGACGAGCUCGCGGUACCUCCUGCUCCUGCUUGCCUCCUUGCUUGGAUCCCGCACCCCUCUACCCACUUGCCAGCACUUGAAUUAUUAAUCUGGCUUGGGCCUUCGUGGAGUUGGCAAGGGGAAAGCCUCUGGUCUUGGAGACAUAGGUAGCCCACGCCUUUGGUUCCAUGAAUUAUAUCCGAAUUUCGCCCAAUCGUCCGACGAAAAAUGAACAUAUAAGUAAAUAAAUGCCCUGUUCCACCGUAUAUUUUGGGGCGAAGAAAUCGUUGCUACUGCCUAACUCCGUCAGAGUUGGAUGCAUCGUGUGUUAAGCCAGAUUAUCUGAUUAUAUUGAACCAGUGAGCUGCUUGGGCAUACAAAUCAGAUGGGUCGAAACGAAAUCGAGUGAGGUACAACAACUAGUUUGGGAAUAUGGGAUCUCACUUGAUACGGAUUAAGACUGCUCCCAGUAGGAGUAGGAUACUAGGAUCAAUCAAACAGAAAAUACUUUGUAAAUACAGGCUUGCUUGAUUUAAAGCACACAUUCCGCAUCUUUUUCUGCUCUAGUGAAGCUGUCACGGGAUGUUUGUGGCUAAUUUGAGAUGACUGUAGAGCAUAUCACACACUCAUUAUCGACUGGUACCAAAUUUAGACAUGAAAAACAUACUUCUAAAACAGGGCCACCUAAGCACCAGGGGACACCCUCACGUCUCGCCUGCCUAUGCAGCCACAUGGCCUGAUGGUGACAACCAGGUUGCACCCUGCCGCUCCUAGCCAUUACCAUAACACUUUGAAUUCACCCUCAAAUUAAUGAAUGCUCCAGUACCCACAUCUGUAACCGACAAAACCUGUGCCUGAUAGUGAUUCCCACUCUGUUGGGAUGAAAUAUGGAAGGGAAUUACCGCCUACUCCCUCCGUUUCUAUAUAUAACCCUUUUUAGAUAUUUCAAUACGGGUGUAUAUAGACAUAAUUUAGAGUGUAGUUUCACCCAUUUUGCUCCGUAUGUAGUCCAUAUUGAAAUCUCUAAGAAGACUUAUAUUCAGGAACAGAGGGAUUAUAUUUUUAUAGCAUGGCCCUCAGCUUGUGUGGAUAUUGAUAGUACAAAACCACUUUCUAUGUUUGCAACUUUACAUGAAAAAGUUUAGUUGUAAAAUUUACGAAAACAAAGUGUUCUUUAGGCUAUAAAAAGAGCGAGGGAUGAAAAUCGGUGCAUAUGGGAAAAGCGACCUUCAAUUUUUUUCUUCUAUCAAGCCUCUUGUGGCAGGUUAUGCAUUCAGAGCAGAAUGCUUCCUGUUCUUCUGAAGCAGAAGUGUGUCAUUAUCCUUAAUGUCGAUGCAUUGGGGUUUUGCAGGAGGUUGCAAAGACAUUCCGCGUAGAGGCGAUGCCGACCUUUGUGCUGGUGAAGGGCGGGCAGGAGGUGAGUCGCGUGGUCGGGGCUAAGAAGGAUGAGCUUGACAGGAAGAUCAAGACGUUCAUCUCAUCGUCCUGAUCCUGGCUUAAUUAGCCUGCACUCCAAUUGUAGUGCCAGGUUCCGUUUUCUCGAUCCCAGUGGCAAGAGGCUCCUAUGGUUUCCCCAUGUGGUAGUACCAAUCCUCCUUCUAAAAUGCUGCAAAAUCCGACGUAAAGUGGUAAUAAAGGUUCUGAAACUUGGAUCGUGUAAAUGUGUAACUCUGGCCUGUCUGAUCGUCAUCUGUCACCUUGGGCAAUCAAGUUACUGUGAUAUAAAGUGUGUUACUGGUAUUCAUGUUUUUAUUCUGGACAUACUGUAGUUUGUUACUGAAAAAACGACACUGUAUGUUCCCUUUGCAUCAAGUGAAUGUACAAGAUAUUGUUGAUUUUGGUUUGGCUGAUGUUACCCGGC
Molecule: long non-coding RNA, 53923 nt
Filed under: Hordeum vulgare
Lineage: Eukaryota; Viridiplantae; Streptophyta; Magnoliopsida; Poales; Poaceae
Description: long non-coding RNA (HVUL_LNC014102)
Rfam family: MIR1120/MIR1122 microRNA precursor family (bases 43294-43430)
Source: RNAcentral